CUGAACCGAAUGGGAAAAAUGCAAGGCGUCCAUUUGUUGCUUUCAACACUCCUUCAGCGAACCUUUCUGGUUUAAACUCAUUUGCAUCUUCGCCCCACAAUUCUGUGUCUCGGUGAAGUAUGAUUAUUGGCAACAUCAAUAGUGUAUCGGCGGGGAUAGUGUAUUGUCCUAACUUUGUUUCUUCUUCAACCAAUCUAGACAGUUCAACAAUUGGUGGAUACAGCCGUAAUACCUCAUUGAAAAUCAUUGUUGUCUGUUAGGAUGAUAAAGAAUCUCAAAUAAUAAGGAAAGAGAAUGAUGAAGACACCCUAUUCAUUUCUUAACGAUUAACAUUGAAAAAGAUGUGUGACAAUAAAAGAAUUUCUUAUACACAUGAAAAAACCAAAUUAAGAAUAAUGAUACUGGUGCUAGAGCAUUAAUUUAGGUGUCAUGUAAGUGAUAGAACGUUUUAAAUGUGAUUUAUUUCUCUACUUUUAAGAUGAUCUAUAAAUUAACGAUACUUGAACGUCAUAUAGAUUGUUGCACAGUAGUAGUGGUAGUAAAUAGUAUUCCUCGAAAACAAAACCAAGGCGAAUCAAUCCAGCAUAACUAUUUUUUCUAAUCCGAAAGGUAAGAUUUGCAUCAUUUUCGUGUUAUAUGGGCUUGUCCAGCCCAAGAGAAAAAGCCCAAUCUUCCUUAUUUUCUUUUAGUCAAACCAUUAGGAAAGUCAAAAACGACGGCUAUAAUUGAAGGAAAAAAGGUUGAAGCUGUUAGAGAAGAAAUAAAAGAAGGAGAAAAGGAAAUUUUAUUUAUUUUUUAUUUUUUUUCAAUUUGGGUGUGGAUUCUCAACGCAAUAUAAAUUGGGAUUUUCUCUAAGGCGUAUUUUGAAUACUCUAGAGGUGUAGUAUUUAAAGUGAGUUCUCACAAGGUUAAUUAAAUUGGUGAUUUAUGGUGGGAUAAAUUGUUGUCUUAGAGAUUAAUUAUUGUGUUAUUUCCAAUUUGUUGAGAAUUCAAGUUUUGGACAAAAACUUAAAUAUAGCAAUCUAUAUUUUUAUUAUAGUGGAUUUUGGCCAGAGUUGCUCUGGGGGUGAAUUAUUCUUGCAAUAAGUGAAAUUGCCCAACAUUUCGAUCUAUAACACACGCGUAUAAAUUCAUUACCAAAACAUGUUUCUUUCAAAAUUAUUCAACUAUUAUUUGUAUGAGUUCAUUAUAGGGUUAAAUAUAUGUGUUCGGUCACUAAACCUAUAUCAAAAUUAAUACAAGUACGUUCAUGCUUUUUCUGAUGAUUUUCAACUUUUUUUUUUUGAGAUAACUAUGGAAACAUAUAUAUUUGUGAAGUAUAUAAAAUUGAGACUACUUACAAUUUUCAGUUGACUUAACCCUUCAUAAUCAGGUUUGCGGUCACCGAAGACUUGAAAAACCUCUUGUCUUGCACGUUCUUGCCAAUUUUGAUGGAUACUAAGUAAAAUCAUGGUCCAAACGAGCAUAGCUGUGGUGGUCUCAUGUCCUGCGAAGUAAAAUAACUGAACAUUUCCAAUCAAAUCAUCCAUAUUCUUGAUUCCAUGAGCUUCUGCGAGUUCAGAUUCCAACAACACAUGAAAUUAGUUAUCCUCCAUGGUUUUUCCUGCCUUAAUUGCCUUUGCCCUUUCAUUUAUCAGAAUCGAAAAUGAUUUUCUUAAUUCAUUUUUUAUCUGUUUUGACCUUCGAUUUGUCAUAGUGGGAAGAUACCUACACCAAAUUGAGAAAAUUGUCAAUAUACUAAAAUGAAGACACAAAAGACCUACAAUGAUGAAUAUUAAGACGAGUACAAGACGUCGAAUUUAAAUGAAGAGCAUCAGUAAAUAAUAUAAACCGACAUUUCUUAAGUUAAACCUCCAUUUUCAUCGUUUUGAAAAUAAUGGACAAUCGUGGUGAGAGUACAAACAUCAUUGUAAAUAUACAACGACAAUGUAAGUGCAAUAACGUACUUUGCUCCCGGUAAAUCAACUAUUCGGGUUGUCUGUCUCGCAAUAGCAGUCAAUUCUUUAAGAAUUUCAUAGAUCCUUUUAUCCUGAGCAUAGUCAGUGGCAAAUAAAGUUCGGGACACUACUUUAGUGGUCAAGAUUUCUAUAUGAGACAUCACGUCCACCACACAGGAGCCAUCCUUGGAGCUCGACACCAUGAUCUUCCACUUAUUCACAAUUUCAUCGCAGCUUAAUUGAAAUGCAGGUAUCAUUUGCUACAUAAUUAAAAACAAAAUAUUGAAAAAAAAAUGUCAAUAAUGUGUUAAGAUUAAUUAUACAGAAGAGGGGGAAAAAGAUAUUAAUUGGUACAAAAAUUUUACCUUAAUUUUUUCCAGUUGGAAAAUUGGAUUUUGAGUCUUUCUGUUUUUGCUCCAUUCUUCUCCCUCUUGAUUAAGGAUUCCACUAAUAAGUGUUUGUACUAUAUUAUUGGUUACCUUAAAAUUCUUUUUGAAAAUAUUGUAUUUACUCAUCACUGUUUUCAUCAACUCAGGAUCCAUAAUGAGCACCCGAGGUCUCGGUCCAACCCACAUGAACGACAUUUUACCUACAAAAAACAUAAAAAAAAAAAAGAAAGAACCUUUUUAGAAAGAAAUUAUGAUAAUGCAAAUACAAUUAGUGUAUGCAUGGAUCAAUUAUUACUUAAAUGCAGGCACCUAAGAUAGGUGCUUGUGGUUUGCUGUUUUAGUUUUGCAAAAUACAGAAAAUAUGUUUGGUCUGGUAAUUCAGUUCUCAGUGCAAAACACUAAAAUACAAACCAAACGGGCACUUAGUUUCCACUCACAAGUAUUUGGAAGUUCAUUAGAAUUAAUUUCUAAAAAAGUACAAGUUUCCUUGAAGAUACCGUAUUUUUCAAUGGUUUUAUGAACGAAGGGCAUGACACGGGGAACAGCUUCGUCGUGAACAUUGAUAGUCUUUCGCAAUGCUUCAGCAUAUUCGACUGAGUUCUCUUUUACGUCUCCAAACAGAAGCCUGGUCAGGGUAUAUGGGUUCCCUUUGAAGCCUUGCUGCUUAAGCAUCCUCUCCUUCUUCUUAGGUUUAAGCCAAAUCCGAUCCAUAAUUCUCCAUCCCAAUAUCAGAAAUGCUGUAAUGAACAACAUUGAACUCCAUACAUUUUUCUCACUUCCGCCAACUAUUUCUGUCUUCAUGUCUGAUGUGAGUGUGUGUGUGUGUGUGUUUCUUAGAAAGAAGAGUGCGAUUGAGAAGAAGCAAUCCAAGGUAUUUAUAGAAGAAUUUGGACGUGAACUAUCAUUGUAAAACAAGUAAAAUAAUUCAAGCAUGACACACGAGACCAAACAGUACUAUUAAUAUGUAAAAUGCCUAUCCCAUGAUAUAAGCCCGGAUUGAUAUUGCUAAAAAAUCUAAGUAAAAGACAGCUAUUAAUUUCACCUCCACAUUUUAUAGAAUCCAUUACUAUUUAAGUACACAUUCCGUCAAUUUUUAUUAAAGUUUGCUAAAAAUAUGAUAUUAAUAUCUACAAAACAAAGGCAUAACAUGAGGUUUGAUCUUUAUAUCUUAGGAUGUGAAAGAUACUUAUUUCCCAAGAUAAAAAUAUAAAUCAAUUUAUAAAGAUUUGUUGAUAUUUCUCUUAAUAAUGUUGACAUUUUAAGAUGAUUCACCAAAUUUUAAUAAGGUAUCAAAGCCCAUUGAUAAGUGUAUUUUAUACAUUUAUUAGGGGCCCUAAAAUAACAAUAUUUAAUAGUUCUUUUGACAAAUUAUAUCCUAAAUUGUUGUAUUUUAUAUUUUAUAAGUAAACUCUAUAAUGAAAAUGAAUUGAAUGAAAGAAACAAUAAUUGGCGAAAAAAUAGCAAAAUCUAAAGUACAGGGAUUAAAUUGACCAUUGGAUGAAAAUUGAGGACUUGAAAACAAAUACCACCACAAUAUGCCUCAACUUUAAGUUGUAAUGGACUUCUGCUCGUUUAAUUAAAAGUGGUUUGGACUCUUGGAGGAGAAAAAAAAAAAAAAAAAACGGGGAGGACGGNNNNNNNNNNNNNNNNNNNNNNNNNNNNNNNNNNNNNNNNNNNNNNNNNNNNNNNNNNNNNNNNNNNNNNNNNNNNNNNNGUUCAAAUAUUGGGCUGACUUGAAAAAACUGACCUACAGACACACGCCUAGGCGGGGAAAAACGGCUGCCUUUGGAGCUGAUUUCUAGGAAAGAAAACGCCGGCAGUUGGCUGGAAAAAAAAAAAAAAUACAAGCUGGCAGCUUUUGGGAAAGAAAUCAAAGGCUGCUGCGGGAGAAAAAAGGCAGAUAAUUGUAGCUGAAUUUACAGAAAAAAAAAAAAGGAGUUUCCUAGGAAAAAAAAUCGAGAAACAAUGCUGAAUUUGUGGGGGAAAAAGGAGGCCACUUGUGGCUGCAAAUUAUACACACAUACAAAAACCAAAGCUGGAAGAUGAACAUGUAUGCAAACACAUAAAACAACAACUUGGGAUUCCUUUGAAAAGUCAAGAAAUGAGGCUGAAUUAUAAUUGAUAUACGCACAAAGAAGGCAGACACAAGACGGCACAUGCAUGGGAAAAUUUACGUUUCGUCAAUUUUUGGUGAUAUUUUCUAUCUUUUAUUUAUUUAAUUCCAACAAUAUGCUUGGUUAAUUUUUUAUAUUACUAAGAUGUGAUGAACCCUUGUUAUGAAUUUUUAUUUUGAAUAAUUAAAUUGACGUUAAAUUUGUUUGAAUUAUUGGAUGUUUAUUAUGAUUUAAUUUGCUUUUCAAUUUAUUUGACCAACAAUUGAAUUAUUUGUGGGUUUUAUUGUCAUCGAGAGAGAUAAUAGAAUUGUUAGCACGUAGUAAUAAACAUUGUGAGGUUCUAUAGAGGAUAGAGUAUACCUCUAUACUUCACAUGAUUUUUAUAGAUAUUCUAGCUCGUUUAAUGCAUUUAUCAUGUUCGCAUCUUUCGUCGAGAGAUAGGAAGGUUACAUGAGGGGAAUAGAUUUGAUAACUAUCGAGAGAGAUUUUCAACUAAAAUAGGAAUAUUGACCAACAAGCAUGGUUUCAAAUUGGAUUCAAUGAUGCUAUAAAUAUUCCUAAAGAAAUUGCCAUUGAAAUGAAAAUUAAUCAUUUAUUUCAAGUGAAACGUGUAAUUUGAAGGAAGAAACAUUUUGAUGAAAAUGCUACUGUAAACGAUGCACAAUCACUUGAAGAUUCUUUCAUAACCAAUUAUUUCUUUUAUAUAGUAGAUCAAGUAAUUGGAUUCCUUGAACGAUGGUUUGAUCAAUUCAAUUUAUAUGAAAACAAAAUUGGAUUUCUAUUUUCUUCUGACAAGUUAAACUCAUUGGAUGAUGCUAAUUUGAAAGCAUGUGUUUUGAUCAUCUUGACAUUAGUUUAAGACAUGUAAUUUUUUGUGAUCUUGAUGGCGAAAAUUUAUUUCAAAAUUUAAAAGUUUUGUAAAAUCUUUUACCAAAAGAAAUAAAGACGGCUUUUGAUAUAUUGACUUAUUUGAAAAGAUUGGAUUGCUUUCCAAAUAUAUGUAUUGCUUAUAGAAUAUUAUUGACAAAUUUUAUUACUGCUGUAUCUGCUGAAAGAAUUUUUUUUUUCAAAAUUAAAAUUAUUAAAACCAUGUUACAAGAACAAUUGAAUGUAUUAACUUUGAUAUCUACUGAGCAAGACUUUCUAGAAAAUAUUGAUUACGAAAGUUUAAUUAAUGAGUUUGCUUCUAGAAAUGUAAGAAAUAUUUUUAUAUGAUUUGCUGUAUUUCAAGCUUUAUACUUGAUUUAUAUUUUUUCAAGGUUCGCCUAUAUGAAAUUACACGAAGAGGCUAGUGUCUUAAAUGGUUCUUUGUUGAUGUAUGUAAUAAAAAAAAUUAAAUUCAUAUUUUUGCAAGAAAUAAUAUUAUUGAAAUAUAUAUAUUUUUUAAUACAUGUUUUAGUUACAUUAAGGGAGUACUAUUUUAAAAUCUCGAACAAGAUACCCAAAAUCUCAGGCCAGGCUCUGUCGAGAGCAACGAUUAAUUUUUGUUUCAAAUCAAUGACAAGUCUUUUUGUAACUCAGUUGAGAAGAUGUUUUUCCGACUUGUUUUCAUCUUUUUCACGUGUCAUUCCUAAUCCCCUCCUUAAGAGAUUAAAUAAUUAUAAGAUGACAAAAUGUACAAAUCAAUUGAGUGUUAGGUUUUGAAAGCAUUGAGUGGAGUUUGCUAGGAAAAAAAAUCGAGAAACAAUGCUGAAUUUGUGGGGGGAAAAGGAGGCCACUUGUGGCUGCAAAUUAUACGCACAUACAAAAACCAAAGCUGGAAGAUGAACAUGUAUACAAACACAUAAAACAACAACUUGGGAUUCCUUUGAAAAGUCAAGAAAUGAGGCUGAAUUAUAAUUGAUAUACGCACAAAGAAGGCAGACACAAGACGGCACAUGCAUGGAAAAAUUAAUUACAUUUCGUCGAUUUUUUAUGAUGUCUUCUAUCUUUUAUCUAUUUAAUUCCAACAAUAUGCUUGGUUAAUUUUUUAUAAUACUAAGAUGUGAUGAACCCUUGUUAUGAAUUUUUAUUUUGAAUCAAAUUUGUUUGAAUUAUUGAAUGUUUAUUAUGGUUUAAUUUGCUUUUCAAUUUAUUUGGCCAACAAUUGAAUUAUUUGUGGGUUUUAUUGUCAUUGAGAGAGAUAAUAGAAUCGUUAGCACGUAGUAAUAAACAUUGUGAAGUUCUAUAGAGGAUAAAGAUAUACAUCUAUACUUCACAUGAUUUUUAUAGAUAUUCUAGCUCGUUUAAUGCAUUUAUCAUGUUCGCAUUUUUCGUCGAGAGAUAGGAAGGUUAUAUGAGGGGAAUAUAUUUGAUAACUAUCGAGAGAGGUUUUCAACUAAAAUAGGAACAUUGACCAACAAGCAUGAUUUCAAAUUGGAUUCAAUGAUGCUAUAAAUAUUCCUAAAGAAAUUGCCAUUGAAAUGAAAAUUAAUCAUUUAUUUCAAGUGAAACGUGUAAUUUGAAGGAAAAAACAUUUUGACGAAAAUGCUAUUGUAAACGAUGCACAAUCACCUGAAGAUUCUUUCAGAACCAAUUACUUCUUUUAUAUAGUAAAUCAAGCAAUUGGAUUCCUUGAACGAUGGUUUGAUCAAUUCAAUUUAUAUGAAAACAAAAUUGGAUUUCUAUUUUCUUUUGACAAGUUAAACUCAUUGGAUGAUGCAAAUUUGAAAGCAUGUUGGUGAUCAUCUUGACAUUAUUUUAAGACAUGUAAUUUUUUGCGAUUUUGAUGGCAAAAAUUUAUUUCAAGAUUUAAAAGUUUUGUAAAAUCUUUUACCAAAAGAAAUAAAGACGGCUUUUGAUAUAUUGACUUAUUUGAAAAGAUUGGAUUGCUUUCCAAAUACAUGUAUUGCUUAUAGAAUAUUAUUGACAAUUUUUAUUACUGUUGUAUCUGCUGAAAGAAUUUUUUUUUUCAAAAUUGAAGUUAUUAAAAUCUUAUUUGCGAUCAAUCAUGUUACAAGAACAAUUGAAUGUAUUAUGUUUGAUAUCUACUGAGCAAGACUCUCUAGAAAAUAUUGAUUACGAAAGUUUAAUUAGUGAGCUUGCUUCUAAAAGUGUGAGAAGAAAUAUUUUUAUAUGAUUUGUUGCAUUUCAAGCUUUAUACUUGAUAUAUAUUUUUUCAAGGUUUGCUAUAUGAAAUUACACGAAGAGGCUAGUGUCUUAAAUGGUUCUUUGUUGAUGUAUGUAAUAAAAAAAAUUAAAUUCAUAUUUUUGCAAGAAAUAAUAUUAUUGAAAUAUAUAUAUUUUUUAAUAUAUGUUUUAGUUACAUGAAGGGGGUACCAUUUUAAAAUCUCGAACAAGGUACCCAAAAUCUUAGGCUAGGCUCUGUCGAGAGCAUCGAUUAAUUUUUGUUUCAAAUCAAUGACAAGUCUUUUUGUAACUCAGUAGAGAAGAUGCUUUUCCAACUUGUUUUCAUCUUUUUCACGUGUCAUUUCUAAUCCCCUCCUUAAGAGAUUAAAUAAUUAUAAGAUGACAAAAUGUACAAAUCAAUUGAGUGUUAGGUUUUGAAAGCAUUGAGGUGAUUUCAAUUUCUCUACAGAAAUAUAAUAAGCAUUUAAUUAAGAUUGAGCUUUUCCACGGAAUUUAGCAUAUGUUUGGUAUGUUUGGCCCCAUUUUUUCAAAAACCUUUUUUUAUUCAAAAUUAAUUUUCAAUCACACAUUCUCCCAUAAAAUAAUUUUACAAGCAAAAUCAAAAAAAUUUCUUAUUUUUUAAUUACACAUUCUCCAACAAAAUAUUAUUUUAAAAUACAUUUUGACCACAAAUGAAGCUCAAACAGGGGCAUAAUAUGACCACCGCUUGCAGUCAUUUGAUUUAAGAUUAUAUUAUUAUUCGUAAUUAUUGUCGUAGGUUUAAUAAUGACAGUUUUACAUCUAAGUUAUCGAGCAAUCUUUAAUUGAGAGUUAACCCAACACAAAAUCUACACAUUUUGUGUAUAGUGGCACGUGUUGAAGUUAUUAAGAAAUCAUUCCAUAUUUAGAGUUUGUUUGGUAGGGAUUUUGAUAAUUAAUUUUUUGACCGUUGGAAAUAAAGUGGGUCCUAUCUAUGAGACAAUAAUUCAAAAAUGACGACUGUAAUGAUGAAAUAACGGUCAAAAAAUUGAUUUUAAUUGAUUUUUAAUAUAUAAUAAACAUUCACUUAAUUAAGUAGACAAAACACAUGGCAAGACGCUUAGUAUGUCUUGUCACACUUGGAAAAAUUAUUUUCAAACUUGCAGUUUGAUUUAUUUGUUAAUGCAAUAAUUGGAUGUCCUUAUUUUUUUUAAUAAUUUAGAUCAUUUUUAACCAUAAUUCUUAACACGUAUAUCUACCUAUUGUAACGAUAUUUCACAAAGAAAAAGUUAUUGUCGUCUUAGCAAUGGUGCACAUCGUACUUCAACAAUGUUUUUUUUUUUAGUUAUAUUCAAGAAAAUAUUUGUUACACAAUAUUAAAUUCGAAUAAAUAUAAUUUUUAACUUUAUCAAACAUGUCACGGAGGAAGUCAAUUGACAUAUGAAGUUAUUGUGACUUGAUAAAUGGACACUUAUUUUUUGAUAAUUAACAGGUUCGGAGAAGGACAAUUUUGUCAUUUGCACCCACAUCAAAAUUGUUAAAUGAUAUUUUUGAAAAAUGUCCAUUUAAUUAAGAGUUAUGCUGGAGAAACAAGGCCAUGUAGGCCGUAUUUGAGAAGAAUUCUUGUUUAAUUAACAAUGUAUCAAGUGAUUCAGUGAUUCAUGUCCAAAAAUUUUUAAUUAACAAUGUAUCAAAUGACUCGUGUCCAAAAUUUUUUACAGUUAAGUUUGUGAGCAAUCUGUUAAUUAUCAAAAAUCAUAUUUUGAAUAGUGAACUUCUGCAGAAUGUGUAGUUAAAAAAUAGGAAAAAUUUUGAAUUUACAUACGGAAUAUUUUAUUAUAUGAAUGUAUGAUUUGAAAAUAAAUAUGUAUAAAAAAUAGUUAAUUUAAAAAGGCUAUCAGGGGCUGAAUUUAUAAGUAGACAAAACACAAGAAUCUAAGCCCUUGUUUGAUUUUCAUUACAUUACAUUACAUUACAUUCUAUUUUUCUCUCUCCUAUUUUCAACCACACAAUCUUCCAUAAAAUAAUAUUACACGUAAAUCGAAAAUUUUUCUUUCUUUUUCAACCACUCAUUUUUCAAAAAACACUAUUCUAUACAUUAAAUUUUCCCCGUAAUGGGGGCCAAACAGGGCCUAAAUGUCUUGUCACACUUGGAAACAUACCAUUAAUUUCAAACUUACAGUUGGAUUUGUUUGUUAAUGCAAUAAUUGGAUGUGCACAACGGAAGAAGAAGAAAUUGCCAGCACAUUAUUUCUUAUAUAAUGGAACAUUUCUCUUAUUGAUACCCCGUAUAUUUUCUUCGAUUUUUGGAGUUUUUCAUGUAAUUUCUUGGGUAAAUUUUCUCUAUAUAUUUCACAUUUUUAUGUCUUAUUAGUAUUAUUUAUGAACGGUGAUAUUGUGAGCGAGCAAAAGAAUUAGUCUCGAUUCUCAAUAUUAUAGUCCACCGUUAGAUCAAAUUAAAAACAAUGUAGUUUGUGUUGUUAAAAACUAAAAGAUGCUAUGGAUAAAUUUCUAUUUCUUUUUUAACAUGGUGAGGAACAUGAAACACAUGAUUUUACACCUUGAGCUCAAUGUGUGUCUAUAUAAGACAUCGCUAACUAAAUUUUGCAUGUUAGAUGAAGCUGUUAAAUAGUAGACAACAAGAGAAAUAAUGUUAUAAUCAAUGGCGGACACAGACAUUUUGAGUUAGUGGGGCACAAUUGAACUUGCAAAAAAUACAGAUUUAUGUUUAUACAAAUACCACUAUAUUUGUCAUCAUUUUUAUCUCCAACAUCAUUUUCUUCACUUUUCUUUCGAAUAUUCUUUUCAUUAACAUUGUGAUCAUGAAAAAAACACAUAUUUACGUUUCAAUUAUUUUUCAAUCACAAUUAAUUCAAGUGAAAAAUACAAAAAUUACAACAAUUCUGAAUAUUAAAUUAUCAAAUGCAUUUUUGUUCAAACGAAGACAAAAAUCACAACAAGAAUCCAUUACCAUAAAAUCGCCAAAACAAAAUAGAAAUUGGAGCACCUAAAUUGAUCACUAAUAUCAUUUCAUAAGAAAAUACAAAAGAAAUCAUAAAAAAGAAAUAAUGUCCCGAAAAAUGAGGCAUAUAACUUUUGAUGAAUGAAUCUUUCACAUUCUUUAAAAAAUUAAAACUUUAUUCAAUGUUUUCAUAUUUUCUGGGCCUGAGUUCUUCUACUUCAAAUAUGAUUUCCCUUAAAAAAAAUAAUAAUAAAUAAAUAAAUAAACCUCAAUUUUAAGUUGGUGGGUCAAGUGACCCACCAGGACCCACUGUGGGUCUGCCAGUGGUUAUGAUGCAGAAGGAUCCAAAUUGAGUGAUGCUGAUUUGUUAGAUAACAUGAUGAUGGCGCUAAAAUACCAUGAGAUGGCGGAUCGGUGCAAAAAUGGGAAGUGAAUCGCAAUUAUUUCCUUAAUUGGGGGAAUUUGACACGUAUUUGGUAAUUUGGCCAUAACUUUGGCUACAGUUAUCAGAAUCACUAUUAUGACCCCAAUCUGAAAAGUUCUCUUCGGUGCGCACGUCGUGACCACCAGCUAUGCUCCGUGGGCGUCAAUUUCGAGCCCAAAAUCCACUGUUUUCCUUUCCAAAAUUCAAUUUUUAGUUAUUUUUUGCUAUUUAUGGUAAUAUCUCGAAUUGAGCCAAAUUUUUGGCAACCUACUUCUUUUACUUAAUAUUUUAUUCUGGUGUAAUUUCGAGAUUUUACUAUUUUUGGUAAUUUUCCUAUAAUUUCGUAUUUUGUAGCUAUUUAACUCGACUUGUGGGUUAAUUUUGGUCAUUCUGCAUUAUUAAUAAUAUUGAGUUGAUUUCAGAGUAUUUUCUCUGGUUUUUGGACGUUUUUCUUUUCUUUCUUUCUUGCGAAUUAUCUGCUACAAUAAGCCAAUAGGAUAAUCACUAUCUUACCCAGCGUCAGUUGGUAUCAGAGCGUCAGCAUCUUCUUGGGAGAUAAAUUCCAUCAGUUAUAAUGGUUGGUGGACGUGGUCGUGGUCGUCGAGGGCAGGUUCCGAUUGAGGAAGUCCCACACUGUGAUCAUAAUAUUCAGGAUGUGGCGAUUGAAGAUUUGUAGAAACAAGUUGCGGAGUUAACCCAACGUUUGGCGGAGCAGAAAUUCGAUAAUCAUGAUGUGGAGAGUCACGAUUCCGAUACCAGUUUCGAAAACUCGUGUCACCAUCGUGCUCGAGUUUGAGAGUAUCGUGCACGGGAGGAUCGUCAUGUGGAUCUCGAUUUCAGAGUGGAUCUACCCGAGUUUUCUGGUACGUUGCAGGCUGAAGGAUUUAUUGAUUGGCUAAAUGAAGUAGAGCAGAUUUUUGAAUAUAAGGAUGUUCCAGAUCGUGUCAAAGUGAAACUGGUCGCCAUCAAACUCAAAGGUAGAGAAUCUACAUGGUGGGAACAAUUGAAGCGUUCAUAGGAGCGACAGGGAAAAUCCAAAAUUACUGACUGGGAGAAGAAAAAGAAGAAGAUGAAAGGGCACUUCCUCCCUUUCGGCUAUACCCAAACCUUGUUUCAGAGGCUCCAUUCACUGAGGCAAAGCACAAGAUCAGUCAAUGAUUAUACUGAGGAAUUCUAUCAGCUCGGAAUGAUUUAUCUGAGACGGAGGAGCAAAUGGUAGCAAGAUAUUUGAGGGGAUUAAGGCAGCCCCUGCAGGAUGUUCUCAGCCUUCAUUCAUUGUGGACGGUUAUUGAGGCAUAUCAGUGGGCACUUGCAGUGGAAAAACAGCAAAGUAGGAGGCCAGUGGUCAGAGGUGAAGGUAGUCAGUCAGUUCGCCCUCAAGAAUCUUGUCCUACUUAUCGGCCACAGCGGGACAAUUCCAACUCAAGUAUUAAGUGUUCAGGUGUGGUGAAUAGAGGCAUAGGGCGACUGAUUGCAGGAAGCCUGCUGGUCAGAAGAAUAAAAAUCUUCUGAUUGGGGAGGAUAGGAUAGAGGAGUUUGAGGAAGUUGGGGAGCCUGUGUAUGAUGAUGGUGAAGAUGAGGACGAGCUAUAUGGAGAUGGCCAGGAGACCCUGGUAGUUCGAAAGAGCCAGCUGACUCCCAAGAGUGAUUUAGGGGACGAUUAGUUGAGGACCAACAUUUUCUACACAACCUGCACAGUUGCUGAUAGAGUUUGCAAGCUGAUAAUUGAUAGUGGCAAUUGUGAGAAUGUAGCGUCUGAGGAGGCUAUCGAGAAACUGCAACUGAAGAUGGAUCGUCAUCCCAAACCAUACAAAUUGUCUUGGCUGAAUAACGGCAGUGAGGUAACGGUAGAAAAACGGUGCUUAGUGUCUUUUUCGAUUGGAAAAAAAUAUUUUGAUAAUGCCUGGUGUGAUGUGGUAUCAAUGGACGCGUGUCAUGUUUGUUGGGAUGACCUUUGCAGUAUGAUCGCAGCGUUAUCCAUGAUGGGCGGAAGAAUACUUAUUCUCUUAGCAUCAAAAGGAAGAAAAUUGUUUUGGCGCCUCGCAGGGAAGAAAACAUCCCUGUCCCGAUAGUUAAUAACACCAAUCUACUUUCUAUGUCCAGGUUCUUGGUUGAGGUUGGGCGUGAAAAAAUAGUUUAUGCUUUAAUGCCUUGUGAAAAUAGUGCAGCGAAUGUGGACUCGAAAUUACCAGCAGAAGUGCAGCAACUACUGAUGGAGUUUUCUGACUUGAUAUCGGAGGAUCUUCCUCCAGGAUUACCACAUAUGAGGGACAUUCAGCAUCAGAUUGACCUUAUUCCGGGGUCGAGUCUACCAAACUGACCAACAUAUCGCCUCAGUCCCAAGGAAGCUGAAGAGUUGCAGCGACAGGUGGUAGAAUUAUUGGAAAGGGGCUACAUUGGUGAGAGUAUGAGUCCUUGUGCAGUUCCUGCUCUACUAGUGCCGAAGAACUAUAGGUUGUGGCGUAUGUGUGUUGACAACAGGGCAAUUAACAGGAUUACAGUGAAGUAUAGGUUUCCAAUUCCCCGCUUGGACGACAUGUUGGAUCAAUUGUCCGAUUCUAAGGCCUUCUCAAAAAUUGACCUUAAAAGCGGAUACCACCAGAUCAGAAUCAGGCCUGGAGAUGAGUGAAAGACUGCGUUCAAGACACAACAUGGAUUGUACGAGUAGAUGGUCAUGCCCUUUGGACUAUCCAAUGCACCCAACACUUUUAUGAGGUUUAUGCAUCAGGUUUUACGGCCUUUUAUGGGAAAGUUUGUGGUAGUCUAUUUUGACGACAUACUUAUUUAUAGUCCGACAUGGGAGUCACAUUUUAAUCAUCUUCGUGCUGUCUUUGAUGUAAUGAGGACGGAGAGCUUAUUCAUCAAUCAGAAUAAGUGUUCUUUCUUCACAACUUCUGUAACUUUUUUGGGUUUUGUUGUGUCUACUGAUGGUGUUCAUGCAGAUCAAUCCAAAAUUGAGGAAGUUUUGAAUUGGCCCAAGCCAAAAACUUUGCACGAUGUCAGAAGUUUCCAUGGAUUGGCAUCCUUCUAUCAUCGGUUCAUCAGAAACUUCAGGACCUUGAUUGCUCCUAUCAUAGAGUGCCUUAAAGGGUGUGAUUUUCAGUAGAUCGAGGAGGCAAAGGCUAGCUUUCAAUUGGUUAAGCAGAAGAUGAUGGAGGCCCCAGUCUUGGCACUUCCGGACUUUGAGAAGGUGUUCGAGGUAAACUGUGAUGCAUCUGGAAUUGGUAUUGGUGGUGUUCUGAGUCAGGAGGGACGUCCAAUAGCCUUUUUUAGUGAGAAGCUAUCGGGAUCGAAGAAAAAUUAUUCCACUUAUGACCUAGAGUUCUAUGCCAUAGUUUAGACUUUGAAGCAUUGGCGUCAUUACCUGGUACAUAGGGAGUUCAUCGUUGUUUCUGAUCAUGAGGCCUUGAAGUACAUCAAUGGUCAGCACAAGCUGAGUAGGAAACAUGCAAAGUAGAUGGCGUACUUGCAAGAGUUUAUUUUCACACUAAGGCAUCAAGCAGGGAGUUUGAAUCGAGUAGGAGAUGCAUUGAGCCAUCGCACAUUACUACUCACCACCAUGAGCACUAAGAUUAUCGGGUUUGAGGCAUUUCCUGAUAUGUAUGCUGUAGAUCCUUCAUUUGGGAAGAUAAUUCGGGAGGUAACUAAUAAUCACCGACAUGAUUUUGUUUCCUUAGUUUGAUGUCAACAUGGAUUUUGUCUUGGGCUUACCUCAUACACAGUAGGCGAUGGAUUCCAUUCUUGUUGUGGUUGACAGAUUUUCAAAGAUGGCUCAUUUUGUGACUUGCCAGAAGACAAUAGAUGCUACUCGGAUUGCUCAUCUUUAUUUCAGAGAGAUUGUGCGUUUACAUGGUGUUCCAUAGUCAAUUACUUUUGACCAUGACACUAAGUUUAUGAGUCAUUUCUGGAGGAGUUUAUGGGAGAAACUUGGAACGAAAUUGAAUUUUAGCAGUGCAUACUAUCCCCAUACAGAUGGACAGACCGAUGUGGUGAAUCGGAGUUUGGGAAAUCUUUUGAGAAGCUUGGUAGGGACUAAACCGAAGCAGUGGGAUUGGGCAUUACCUCAAGCAGAGUUUGCUUAUAACCGGUCUAGGAAUAGAACCACCGGAUUGAGUCCUUUUGAAAUUGUCUAUGGUCGGAACCCAUCCGGGGUACUUGAUUUGGCUCCAAUUCCACAUUUGGUCGCUUCAAUAACAAAGCUGAUGAGAUGGCUGAGCAUCUUCGGGGUAUCCAUGAGCAGGUGAAGCUGUCCAUACAGGAUGGUAAUACUAAGUACAAGGCUCAGGCAGAUAGUCAUCAGCGCUAGGUGUUGUUUGAUGUUGGUGAUUUUGUUUGGGCAGUAUUAACUCGUGAUCGUUUUCCAGCUGGGGAGUACAAUAAGCUAAAGGAGCAGAAGAUUGGACCUUGUGAAGUGCUGCAGAAGAUCAAUGAUAAUGCUUACAGGUUGCGCCUCCCUAGCCAUUUGAAGACCUCUGACUUCUUCAAUGUGAAACACCUAAACCCUUAUUUUGUGGAGUCCGAUGAAACUACUGUGAACUUGAGGGCGAGUUCUUUCCAACCCGGGAAGACUGAUGCAGGAGGAUCCGAGUCGAGUGAUGCUAAUUUGUCAAAUAACACGAUGAUGGCGCUGAAAUACCAUGAGAUGGCAGAUCGACGCAAAGAUGGGAAGUGAAUCGCAAUUAUUUCCUUAAUUGGGGGAAUUUGACACGUUUUUGGUAAUUUGACCAUAACUUUGACUACGGUUAUCAGAAUCGUUAUUAUGACCCCAAUCCGGAAAAGCUCUCUUCGGCGCGCAGGUCGUGGCCACUAGCUAUGCUCAGUAGGCGUCAAUUUUGAGCCCAAAAUCCGCUGUUUUCCUUUCCAAAAUUUAAUUUUUAGUUAUUUUUUGCUAUUUAUGGUAAUAUUUCGAAUUGAGCCAAAUUUUUGGCAACCUACUUCUUUUACUUAAUAUUUUAUUCUGGUGUAAUUUCGGGAUUUUGCCAUUUUUGAUAAUUUUUUUAAAAGUUCGUAUUUUGCAGCUAUUUAACUCGGCUUGUGGGUUAAUUUUGGUUAUUCUGUAUUAUUAAUAAUAUUGAGUUAAUUUCAAAGUAUUUUCUCUGGUUUUUGGGCGUUUUUCUUUCAUUUCUUUCUUGUGAAUCAUCUGCUACAACAAGCCAAUAGGAUAAUCACUAUCCUACCCGGCGUCAGGUUAUAAUCUUAAUCUUUAGUAUAUUAAAAAUCAAAUUAAAUAAAUAUAAUUUUGUGGACAAUUUUAUCCAAGUAACAUUUAAACUAUUUGAAUAAUAUGCUUUUUAUUUUUGAGUAUAAUAAUGAAUAACAAAAAACAUUAAUUGAAUCAAUUUACGAAAUUAUUCAAUUCAAUAUAUCAAAUCCUUGAUAUGUAUUGUUUUCCAUUAUUGCUUAUUUGGUUAAAUAGUUUCUCAAAUUCUAGAAGAAAUGCAUGUCUUGUUUGCUAGAAAAAUAUUAGAUCUUAUGACCCUUAUUCUAUAUAAUGCAUCCACUCUAUUCUUAUUAUAAAAAUUUAGUCCUUCAAUUUUAUUGCGCAGAUUGUUCGCUAAAAUUAUAUACCGCAAGUGCACGGGUGCGUUCAAGUAAUAAAGUGAACUUAUGAGUCCGAGUAUCAAUCCCUCGAAGAGUGUUUUUUUUUAAUUUAUACAAUUGUUGACUCAAUUUUAACAAUUGAAACACACAAUUAGAUUUUAUAUGUGGAAAGGAAAGGAAAAUGAAUUUGAAAAUCAAUUGAAAUAACAAUUAUGAAAGAUAAGGAAAUUUGACUUAUGAAUGAGUUGGGAUUUACAAUGUCACUUAAUCGUCGUUUCUUUAAUAUCGCAACAAACCGAAAAUACAAAUUACCUCACACAACAAUCUCUUAAUAGCUGCACAAACCACUCAAUUCAAUCAUAUAUUGGCCACAUACAUGAAGAAAAUUUAAGCACAAUAAUAAAUGCACAAUAACAUAGUAAUUAAAACAUUAAACGAUGAAUAUUGACAUUAAAAAAACUUAGGUCAAGCUACAUCAUAAAUCUUAACAUUAAAUACUUGGACCAUUGCAAAAUAGAAGCACAAAAAUGAAAUAAAGAGAGAACCCAUUACAAAAUGAAAGAGAUAAUAGAAAAAUACAAGAUAGUGAAAGAAAACCGUCCCUUGAAUAUAUUCUUGAAGAAAUGAGGGAUUGAAAUCUUUAAUAUUCCUUGUAGACUCCCAAAUUUUGCUAGAAAUUCUCCCUUCUUCUUGCCUCUUCUCUCAUUGAAGGAUUUUCUAAGUGUUCUCCUAUAAGUCUUGCCCUAGAAGUGACCAACAAAUGAGUAUUUAAAUGGCCAAAAAUCGUCUUAAGUGAAAUUGUGGAAGAGGUCUCGAAAUUUACGCAAAAUAGGCAAAAUUUGCCCAACCGGAAAGCUGUGCGCGUGCACGGUUAGAUGCUUUUGGCCUCGGGAUAAUAAGCCUGCACGCGAGCGUUGGCUUUCUUCAUUUCCUUUUUUCCAACUUAGUCCUCCAUUCAAUUGCACACAAGGCCCUCAACUUUGAUCAUGAACAACUUGUCCCCAAAAUUUGAUUUUCAUAUCACUUUGGCCCUCCAAAAUCGCAAUAAUAAGUCCCUAAACUUUCAGCACUUGUACACUUUGAUCACCAAGUCAUGUUUUUGUGCACUUUUGGUCCUUUUUUCCUUGAUUUAGCUCUUUUCUCAUCCAAUUUGGACUUUUGGUCUACAAACACCAUAAUUACACAAUUAUAAAUAGGAAUCCACUCAAUUUCAUCAAUAGUUAGCUCGUUAAAGUGCCUAAUAAGUAUGUAAAAACACACUUAUCAUAAAUUGCUGUUAGAGGCUGGAAAACUGGAUAGCGAUGAUAGAUCAAGAUAUGCAAGAAGGGUGAUUAUAUUUACGACAAGAAUUUUUAUUACUACACCACUUUUUAAUUGUAAUAGAAGUCCUAAUUCUUUACUUGUUAUUUUAAUUAUUUCCUUCUCUUUUUCUACGUUGCUUCUUAAUCUUCAAUCUUAUAAUUAUUAGUACAUAUUCUCCAUAAUAACAUUUUUGUUUGAAAAUCCUUUAGGAAAGUAUAAAAAGACUUAUUUGCAUUUCAUAUUUUUAAACCAAAAAUAAUAAUAAUAACAAAAUAGAAAAGUAUAAAUUCCUUCAUUUCAAAAACACAUUGACUGAAUAUUUGAUAGAAACCAUCAGGAAUUAUAUGUGAUAGUUAAUAGAAGAUUGAGAAUAGAAAAUGUGACCAAUAGAAUUGAGGACAUACAUGUUAAUCAAAUAUUGGGGACCUUUCACAUUAUUAAAAUGUGAUGUAUCAAAAAGAAAUUGUGAUGGCAAUAUAAUUAGUCCUGAAAGAAUUGUUGCUGAGCAAAAGAAUUUAAGAUUAUGCAGAAUCUACUUAUCUACUCAUGACUCAAUUGGCUCUAUUUCAUAUUUAUUCUCUCUACUCCAGAUCUUCUCUCUCAAUUUUCAAGCUUUUCUCACAAUAUUGAAUAAAAAUAUUCUGAGCCCAAGCGAGACCCACACGAGAAAAUAUAUUUUGUUCUUUAAAAUAAGAUGAUAGGUUCAAUAAAAAGUAGGGUAUAAAAUAUCUUGAUGGCAAUAUUCUUCGCCUCGACCUUCGCAUUGUUCGACCCCCUAUGGGAGGGGGCCGCAAUUCCUUGAUGGGGUGGGAAUGGGGGACACACCCCAUCACGAAACUGCUUCAAUUCUAAUUUUUUAUUUUUUAUUUUAUUAUAAUUUAGAUUGCACUUUAAACAAUAAAAAGAUAAGUAGAUUGGGCGAGAAAUGGGGAUUUUUUAAUCCCUACAAGAGCCGGAAAUGGAGAGGGCAUUCCUGGCUUCGCCCUACCCUGCCCUUCCCUGUUGAUAUCCCUAUCUAAAUUUGUUAAGAGUAAAUUUUGAGAAAAGGAAUUAUGAAUUUUAGUUAUUAUAUUAUUAUGACGCAAUUUGUUAACUUUUAUAGUCAAGUAGCCAGAAAAUUUAUAUUUUCAAUUGUAUUACAUCUUAAUAGAUUCGUAUAUUAAUCUAUUUAAUCGACGAAAUGGAGGACACUUCCACGUAUACGUGCACAAAUAUUCGGUACGUACUUGAUGCAUGUAAAGGAGCAGUAAAAGACUUGUUGGAAAAUGGUUGGCCUUGUGGAUUUAAUAGACAAUGUAACCUUUUUGGUUUCGGAAAUGAAUCAGAGGGAUUAAUUGGACUUUAAAUUGAAAUGAUACCUUGUAACAACCAGCAAACCUCAACGUCCCUUAACUAUAUAAUGUGAUGUGGAAGCGAUAAUGAGAUGUUUAUUAGUGCAUGAAAUUCACCAAAAUAGAAGAGGGCCUACGAACCAUAUAUUGGGUUACAAAUCUCACAAAGUUUGUUAAAUAUAGAAAUAUUGUAUAGAAUAUUUUUCAUUAUAUUUUUCCUUUUAGUGUAGGAUUAUUUUCCUUGUACAAUUAUUUCCUUUUAUGUUUAUUUCUUUUAUUGUUAUUUAUAACCCUAUAAAUAUGAUCUUUUACAUUGUAAUAAACAAGAGCUUAAAUUGUAUAAAAUUAUUCAUAUUUUUAUUAACAUGGUAUCAGAACAGGUUCCAUUCUAAAUAGCUGCUCGCUUGAUCAAUUUUUUUCUCACCAUGUUUGUUGAAAUAUAAUUCGUAGCCAAUAUCCCUCGAGCUUCCUUCAGACUCAGCCCGCUGGAAAGAAACACAUAGGUGGGCUGCUCCGGGUCCCUACUGAAAAGUCAAAAAUUGAGGCUACCAUUAUAUUCAAAUUGCGGCUAUAAGAAAAAAAGGAGGUUGGAAUUGAUUUAGUUGGCUGCUGGGCUACCUGUUGAUACAUAGACACAUGCAAAAAAAAAAAAGAAAAAGAAAAAGAAAAAAAGAAAAAAAAAAAAAAAAAAAAAAAAAAAAAAAAAAAAAAAAAAAAAAAAAAAAAAAAAAAAAAAAAAAAAAAAAGGGAUUCCCCCAGAAGCUGCCUUCAAAUUCAAGAAAACACAAUUUUUUUUUUCAAACUCUCACGGAUUCGGUAAUCUUUUCGUGUUUUAAUUUUUUUAAUGUUGUUUAAAAAAAAAAAAAAUUGUUUUCCCUCCUUUUCUUGGAAAUUUAAUUUUAAAAACUUUGGAAGGUCGGUAUAUUGAAUUUUAUCGGCUCUCUCCUUGCCCCUUAAACUAACUAGGGUUUUCUUAUGUUAAAAAAAAAAUAAAAAUUUGGAGGGUCAAUACUUUGAAAUUUACCGGCUUUUCCCGUGCCCCUUGACAAAAAUUCAGGGGUUUUCUUAUUAAAAAAAAAAAAAGACAAAAAACUUUUAGAGUGUCAAUACAUAGAAUUUUAUCAGUUCUCCCCCUGCCUCUUAAAAAAAAAAAACCAAAGGUUUAUUUUUAUUUUUUUGAAAGGUCGGUACCUUGACCUUUAUCGGCUUUUCCCAUAUUUUUCUAUUGUUUUAGCAACUUAAAAUGUUUUUGCUAAAUCUAAAACAUUAAAAAAAAAUGUCCAUCAAAUAUUUUCUUCCAGGCAAACAAGAAUCUACUUAUCUCCAUCAAUAAUGACAAAAACCUCAAGUGUUUGGAGUUCAUUCUAGAUCAGUUUGGAAGAUUUGAUUGGAUCAAUUUCUUCAAACUCAAUAUUCUAUACCAUAUUGAGUUUGAGGGGAGGGUGUUAAAGAUAAAAUUAUUGUAUAGAAUAUUUUUCAUUAUAUUUUUUCUUUUAGUGUAGGAUUAUUUUCCUUGUACAAUUCUUUCCUUUCAUGUUUAUUUUAUUUUAUUGUUAUUUGUAACCCUAUAAAUAGGGUCUUUUACAUUGUAAUAAACAAGAGCUUAUAUUGUAUAAAAUCAUUCAUAUUUUUCUUAACAAAGUUGGUACUUGGUUGUGGUUGUCAAUAAUGAAAUCUUUUCAUUUUAUGUAAUUGCGUUCUUGAUCAUUGGAGCUCCUCAAAUAGAUUUGAAGCGUAGAAAAGCAAGUGGAUAUACCUAUCAAAGAAUGUUUGAAUUAAGCUUUAUAUUCAAGGUUUUCUUAAAAAAUUAAAACUAUUUUAUCUACACACUUCAAAAUCUUGAGUUGGUAUCAAGGCCUAUAAGGUCGAUACUUUUGGCAUUUUUCCAUGUCCAAAAAUGAUCUUGCAUGCUUCAAAAUGGUAGUGAAUUAUGUAUGAAAGUUUAUAUAAACUUUGGAGGUCCUUAAUGUCAACUUGUGGUAAGGCUAUGUAGUUAGGCUAUGCAUGUCGAUGAUAAUUAUUUUUGUUUAUUCAUCUAGAAAAGUUCUAAUCGUAAUUAUUUUCAUUUGAAUGUCAAUUAGCACUUUGAUUAUUUUUUAUACAUAACCAAGAACCAUUAUAUUAAUUCAAAUCCCCAAUGCUCGAACAACGCAUGAUAAAAAUAGAAAAAUGUAAUGGAUUUUGAUACUUGUACAUCAAAAAUGUAUAUAAGGGGCUAUAUAGUAUGAUGUGGGGGAAAGUGAUUGGUUGAAAAAGUUAACUGUAUUUUAAACUGACAAAUGAUAGAGUACCACGUGAUAUUAUGUAAUCCAUUACGUAAUCACUGAUGUACAUGUAGUAAGAUUCAAAUAUAAUACAUCCAUAUAUCAACAAGAGGACCAUGAAUAGCAAAUGAGGUGAGCCGCUGCCCAUGGACCAACGUAUUCCACUCAUAGGGUUAGGGUGUAUCCAAGGAUCAAAGCGCACCUCACUAUCCCCCCCCCCCCCCCCCCCCCUUUUUUUUUUGGGGAUAUUCAAUCUUUGAGUUAUUUCUUCUCCAUAAUCCCCGUGACCACCCGCGACCCUUGAAUUGCAUUUGUACUAUUUAUAUAGGAUUGAAAGAUGGUAAUUGCAUCACCACUUGAGUCAACUGCGACAGUACAAAGAAGUCCUUCAUUGAGCACAUACACCCCGUUUUCCAACUCUGAAAAAUAUAAUUUUCAACAAAUUGGAGUUAGUAUACACUACAUACAGACUGAAAAUUCGAAUCUUGAAUAGAAUGAAGUUAAGAAUUUGACCCAAAAAACUGAAACCCAAAUCAAUAUUUUUUUGCAUAUAUAAACAACUUUUUAUCUAUGUUGAUGUUAAUCUAUAUUUGACCUGAAAAAAAGACCAUAUCAUUAAAUGCCCAAAGAAUAUAUACAUAAUUUCACUUUGCCGUCAUCGAAGAGAUUUGAGGCGGCGGCUGGUUGCGACCAUUUUGGAGAACAAAUGUUUCAGUAGAUAUUGUGACAAACUAAAUGAAGUUACAAUAAAAAUUUAUCUAAUCCACCUCCAAAAAGUGGUGUUUUUUUUUUUUUUUUUUUUUUUUUUUUUUUUUUUUUUUUAAAGGGUUAUUGGAAUAGCAGCCAUUAGAAAUUGGUUUCCUAUUUUCAAAAGAUUUUUAGCAAGGAAUGUUUUGAAGGUGAAACCCCCAAUCCCAACCACCACAAGGAGUAUCAACUAUCAAUACAAAUUGUCUCCCAGGGCAUACUCCAAUGGUGCAAAGGACAUGAGUAAGAUAGUCUCAUUCUUGCUGAUAGUCACAGUAUGAGGGUUUGAUUUCUGAGAUAUGGAAUUAAACUUUUUGUGAGCAUUAUUGUAUGGGCAAACUCUUGUUCCAUGGCCUGUUGGGGCACAUCUCGUAAUUACCUCCCUCACGAUACUCCAGGAGCGGGGCGAUGGGAGCCCUCAAAGUUGGGGUUCAACCUCUAUUUUUUUUUUUUUUAAUUUAAUAUAACUAUCAAUACAAGUUAUUCUACACUAGAAAUAGUCACACAAGAAGACAAGCAAAAAGUUCAAGUUUUCUCCCAAUCAUUGACUAAUAUCUAUCUCUUUUAGUAUAUUUAUUAUAGCCCAACACACCUUUUUUCAUGUGUUUCUAGCAUCAUUUAGCAUAUAAAUUAAACCUAAUAAUUUGUUACAGAAAAGUUAAGCAAGCCUCCCAAACUUAGUAAAAUAUAAAUUUCAUUUGGGACAAUCAUUGUAAAUAGUAAACUUAUAUUUUCAAAAUAAAUUACAUAUUUAAUAUUAAAAUAGUAAAUAUCAAUGUUUGUUAAGAUAAGAUGAUACUAUUUUAAAUAUACACGACGAAAGCUAAUUAUUUAACUGAUAUUGUAUAUAAUAAAUGUGAUGGAAUAAUUUUUAUAAUUGACAUCAAUUUUACACUAUUUUUAAUCGUGAUUAUAGAAUAGGGACUUAACAAUUAGCUGCCAUUUAUUGUAAUUGAUAGCAUUUUUACGUUAUACUCAUCAUGAAUAUAUAACGACAAACUGAUUAUUUUUAAAAGUAUACCAACAAUUAAUACUUGAUAUCAUGAAGGUCACCUCAAUGCUUCUCAAGUUAUUAUGAGGCUAUGUAGUUAAGAUAUGCAUGUCAAUCAUUAUUAUAUUUUUUUUUUCAUUUUUUCAUUUUGCAACAGUCUAAUUGAUAUUAUUUUCAUUGACCAAGAACCAUUAUAUUAAUUCAAAUCACUCGAGGCUCAAACAACGUGAAUUCAAAUCACUCGUGGCUGAAAAAACGUGUGAUAAAACUAGAGAAAUACAAUAUAUCCACCCAUUAAGAAGAGGACCUUGAAUAGUGAACAAGACAAGCCCAUGGACCAAUGUAUUCCACUCGCAGGAUACAUUGUAAUAAGGACCAAACCGCACCUUACUAGCACUUGGCGGAGGAAGUUCGCUCAAGUCCUUCUCCAUACUAAGUUAGACUACCUUACAAUUCCAUCCAUGAGACAAACACGUUAAAAUUUUGGGACAUGAAUGAUGACAUUUUUCAAAUAAUGAUGGAAAAAGUUCAUGAAGAUCCACGUGGCAUGUUUCAUCACAACUUCAACUAGAAGAAUUUUACAACUCAUGGAAGCACUUUAAGCAGGAAGUCAACAUUGCAAGUGUACCUACAAGAAAAUCUUAGCUUCUUAUUUGGGAAAAUGAAAGCUCCCUGCCCGUAAUAUAAGCAUUUAUGUUUUAAUUCCAUUUAUAAUGUCCAAAAAAUUUCAAUUAACAAUGUAUUACGUGAUUCAUGCCCAAAAAUUUUUACGGCUAAAUUAUUGAGCAAUCUGUUAAUUAAUACUUGUUGAGGUGAUUAAGAAAUCAUCCUUGUAAAACCAAUAAAUAUACUCUGCGAGUCUCGCCCUCUACCUGCGAAGCAUAAGCGAUAUGUAAGUGAUAAGAAUAAAGAAGAAGCUCCUUAAACCUUUGCUUCCAAGCGUCCUUCUUAGAUAAAAAUUCAUGAAAGUGUUGACACAUAAAAAUUCAGCCCAAAUCAAACGGUCCAAGGAAUGAAACCCAAUUGGAGGAUCCCCAAAUCAGAUAGCCCAAAGAACGAAGCUCAAUCAAACAAUUCAAGAUGAAGGCCCAAAUAGGGAGGCUCAAGAAUGCGGUAACGCCAUCGCCCAAAUUUGCAAGUUGCCCAGAAUCUGAGCGAAUGGAGUGCCAUGCAGUCGCCCAGAGCUGUUACUCUAUUCUCGCCCAAACCUUCAAGUCGCCCAAAGUCUUAACAAACAUAAAGCAUUGUAGUUAUCAAAAAGUGCAGUUAUCAAAGCAGUUAUUAAAGCAGUCCUAUCACGUUCCACGAUUCAAGGAAUUCAAUCGAAAACGGUUGAACGACGAAGAGUAAUGACAGCAGUUAAAAAAGGCAGUUUUUAUGACAAGCUGGCCAUUAUGAGGAAAGCGGACAGUUGUAGAACGAUCAAGCAGUUUUUAGGUGGUUGAUCACAAAAAAGAUCAUCCAUGGAGUAUAAAAGGAAGAAAAGACAUAGAGCAAAAGGACCGAAUCAAAAACUCUCGAACAUAGAACAUGUAAUUUUAAUUUCCUUAGUUUUAGACUUAAACACUUUUUUCAGUAACUCGUGUGCUUGCGCCCCUUGGAGGCAUUUUGUUUUUGAUUUCCAAUUGUAAAGUCAUCACCAAUAAAAGAACACCCCUUUUUGAGACUUGUCUCAAGAGGUUUGUCCCUUACACAAUCGUCUGAUCCCUUUUAAUUGUUAGCGACUAACCCGCACGAAACAAUUUGGUACGCCCGGUGGAAUAGUGGUGUUUGGUGUUGAAAGUACAAAAGGUGAAACAAUAUGCCUCAGAGAUCCGAUAAGGAAGCAGCAAGUCAGGGAGGAGUCCAGUCUGUGAUCGAGCGAUAUGAGGAUCAGCAUGCCUCUCCACGAACAGAUGGACAGAAUCAGAGCAGUAACAGUCGUUACGAACCAAUGACGGAGUUGAGUCCUCGAACCAUGCGUGCAUUACUUGGAGAACUCACACAAGACGUUGUUGAACAGGUAAAUCUUCGAAAUAUUCAUAAUAUGGAAAUAUUUACCCAAAAUGGGAAUGCACACUAUGACAACAUGGCCAAACAACUAAACACUUUGAACGAAACAAUGAAUAAGUUAGUAGGCCAAAUAUGUCAACCGGUUAUACCUCUUGCAAAUCACUUUCAAACUAGGACGAUUGUGGGACAUAAUCCCUCAGUCCUAAAUUUGAAUCAAGGGGUAGAACUAUUUUCUGGUCCCUCUACUUCAAACCAAGGGGGUACUGCAGUACCAAAUCAGAACAAUGGUAGUGGUACACCUAACUUGGGGGGUAAUCCAAAUAUAAGAGAUAAUGUCCUAAACAAUGAACAGAAUACCCGACGUGUUAAUGAGGGAAUAGAUGUUCAGACUAAUGGUAAUGGCAGUAAUCAUGGUAACUUUAUUGCCAAUCAAGGACCAAACAUCAGGCCUCAUGCAAAUCAACCGGUUAACCAGCCUGUAGGAAUUCCAUAUGAUCCCAACGUCAUGUUGAGAAAUCAGAUUAUGGAAAUCGUACAGGAUCAGAUGGCUUUUGGGGUACGUCCCGUUAUUAGGCCGACGUACACAAAGCCAUAUCCUGAUUGGGUAGCUCAAGCAUAUCCAUGGCCUAGAGGGUACAAAGUGCUAGAAUUCUUACUGUUUACCGGUUUAGGAAAGAUGUCUACUCUAGAACACAUAGGGCGAUUCACAUUGUAAAGUGGUGAUGUAAUCGAUUACCAUAAAAUGAGACUUUUCCCUAGUUCGUUAACAGGAGUAGCUUUUUUCUGGUUCAUCAACUUGCCAGCGAACUCUGUUCAAACAUGGCAACAAUUGGAACACUUAUUUCACGCUCAAUUUUAUAAAAUUGAGUCUGAAGUCACUUUGGCUGAUUUGGCGAAUCUACGUCAAAUACGAACGAAUGGGCAGAAAGUUUUCUCCAAAGGUUCAAGACAGUAAGAAGCAAGUGUUUUGUACCUCUGCCCGAAAAGGAAUUUGUCAAAAUCGCUCAGGGCUGCUUGAGCUUUGAUUUAAAAAAGAAAUUUCAGGACAAGGAAUUUCCCGACCUUUUCCAGUUGAGUGCAAAUAUGAUUAGGUAUGAACGACUGAUAAGAGAGGAAGAACAGAUGAAAAAUUCUAGUAAAGGGACUUAUUACAAAGACCCAAAUUUUGAUGUUCAUACCAUCAGUGACGAAUCAUACGACCAGGCCGAAAUGUGUUUGGCCGAAUUGGUCAAAGGAGAUACGUAUACUUGUCCCAUAAUGGCCAAGCCUAGACCAUCGGGCAAAGAUGAGUCCAUAAAAUAUGGAAACAUAAAGGCUAGAACGUUCUCGUUCGAUGUAACCAAAGCUGACCUUAUAUUUGAUAAAUUAUAUAGGGAUAAGCAGAUAAAGUUGAGCGAUAAGCACAAAUCGCCAAACCCUGAACAAAUUAAGGGUAAAAAAUAUUGUAAGCGGCAUAAUGCAUGGUCACAUUUGACUAACAAUUGCUUAGUUUUUCGCCAUGUAUUGCAGGAUGCCAUUGAAUCAGAAUGAAUUACGUUCGACGAUAAGAAGAAGAUGGCAGUGGAUGAAAAUCCUUUUCCACAACCACUUGGAGUGAACAUGGUGACGUCUGGAUUCAAAAAUAAGUUGCCAAAAUUCAAGUUGGUCGUAGAUGAUGGAGAAGAGGAUCCUAGACCACAUCCCAGUGUCUUUGAACGAAUCAAGAGGAAAGAACCAAAAAAGGACGAAGACGUCCUGUGUGUAAGAUGUAAAAGAGAAAUUAAUGGCAAUACGGAGAAACCAGGGAUAUGGCAGCAUCCCCAUCGCCCUACCUUCUUCCCAAACACUCAGCCUGGUAGAGGGCGAGGUACAUCAUUCUAUAGAGGAUCACUUUUUGAGAGGCAGUUCAGGCCAGCAGAUAAUGGAAGAACAUUCAGGCCGCAACCUCGCCGGCCAAAUGUAUCGCAUUCAUUCCAGUAUAAUGCAGGAAGGGCAAUACCCUUCGAUGAGAUGACUAGAACCCAACAAAGGCGUUUCCAACGAAACUAUGGACGGAUGAUGAGGCAGCAACAGGGAGUGCCACAUCCUAAAGCGCCUAAACUACUCAAGGUAGCCAAUCAAAAUGUCCUCAACAAUAGUGACGAGACCGGUACAGAUGAAUCAAUGAAGGAACUGCCAGAAACUUCUUCUGGGAGAUCAAAGUUUGAGCGAGACAAAAGGGAUGGAGAAGAUCCAGAUCAGCCCCUUACUAUCCAAUUCGGUACGUUGCCUCCUGUCGUGGCCAAUAAUUACUUACUGGCCAAUGAAUUCAAGAAUAAAGAAAAAGAAGAAGAGAAGGAGGACAACGAAGAAGAAGCUUGCGUGCUGGAAUGUGAAGAAGGCCAGACUUCUAGAGAGGCCUACAAAGAUGAAGAGGACGACGGGAUGAUAGACAUUGAAGAAGAAAUCGACCUAGAAGUAGAAGGAAGAAAGAGAGGAGUAUCGUGCAAUACUCUGUUGAAGCAACUACAUCGAGAAGGAGUUCGCGAAGUAGACUUGUUGGGAGAACCAUCUGGGCGUCCUUUCGAUUUCUACGUACUGUACGGGACACCCAAAAGGAAGAAGAGAGUGACUCACUCUGAAAAGUAUGGGUCACCUCCAAGAAUAAUGCCCCCUCCCACAGGUUGGGUAACUGAUGAGGAAGCAUUAGAAAAAAGUAAGAAGGAAGUUCAGGAGACAAAGGAUCAGUGUGAUAUACUGCACGUCGACUUAUCACAGGGGGAUAAUUCGACAGAAAACAGGCAGGAAGUAGAAAUAGAGGCUACCGAAAAGGAUAUUUUUAAACGGCCAGCCAUGAAAUUGACUAAACACUUGAGGCCAUUGUACGUUAAAGCUCUAGUUAACGGCAUCCCAGUGGCAAAAGUGCUUGUCGACAAUGGAGCAGCUAUAAACACCAUUCCAUUUAGGAUGAUGAGGAAGUUUGCAAAGAUAGAGGGUGACAUGAUUCCUACAGAAGUCAUCCUCACGAGCUUCAAUGGAGGAGCAACUUCAGUUAAGGGAGUUAUGCCAUUGGACAUAACUAUAGGGACGACUACUAGGACCACUGUCUUCUUUGUAAUAGAUGGUCCUACUAGUUACAAUGUGUUACUAGGAAGAGAUUGGAUACACGAAAAUCAUUGUAUACCCUCAUCGCUCCAUCAAUGCCUGAUCUUUUGGAAUAACAAAGGCGAAGCAGAGGUGGUACAUGCCGAUCAUAGGCCUUUUGUCGCAGAAGCAAACUCGGUGGAAAAGUUCAUGUACGAAGGAAACUAUGGACCUGUCAGGGUAGUACAAGAUGGGGAAGAAACUCAAGUUGUCGCGCAAAGCGAAGAGCCAAUUUCAGUGGACACACUCACUGAAAUGUUCAGACAGAUGAGGCCAAAUAUAGUGGCCCUGGAAGAGCCAGUAAUUGGCAAAAGAAUAAUCAAGGAGUCUUGAAUGGAUUCUAAGUUACGAAAACAAAUGGCCGACAUUCAGGCCUUCAAAGCCAGACUAAUGGCUUUCAAUAAGGAAUGCAAUGACAAGAUGAAAGAAGAUACAGCCCUAAAAGCGCUGAAGGACAAAUUAGCAGUAUUCGAGUUAGAACAAAGCAUUGGCUGAGAAGUCAACAAGGUCGACUGUUUAGAAGAGGAAGUACUUACAAGGGAACUGGACGACGAAGUGAUGCGGAUCGUCAAACCUAGAUACGCUCAAGCACAAGACCCUCUGAUCAAAGUAAAUAUUGGCAAUGAAGGAGAAGAUCGUCCAACAUUCAUCAGCCAGAUGCUCGAUCAAGAUGUUAGUAAUAAAUUAAUCGCUUUGCUAAAAGAGUACAAAGAUUGUUUUGCUUGGGAAUAUGAACAAAUACCUGGUUUAGAUAGAGACUUGGUGGAACAUAGGUUACCAACUAAGCCUAACUUUAAAUCUCAUAGGCAGCCUCCUAGACGUUUUGCUCUCAAUGCACUCCUUGAAAUCAAGAAAGAGAUAGAGCGAUUAUUGAAAGCAGGUUUUAUUAGAACAGCCAGAUAUGUCGAAUGGUUGUCCAAUAUUGUACCAGUACUAAAAAAGAAUGGUAAACUAAGGGUGUGUAUAGACUUUAGGAAUUUAAACAUAGCUACACCCAAAGAUGAGUAUCCAAUGCCCACGGUGGAUUCUUUAGUGGACUCGACUGUCGGACAUGUUAUGUAUUGUUUCAUGGAUGGGUAUUCAGGAUGCAAUCAAAUUUAUAUAGCUAAAGAAGACAUACACAAAACUGCCUUUAGAUGCCCUGGGUCUUUAUGAUGUUUUGAAUGGGUGGUUAUGCCUUUCGGCCUAAAAAAUGCAGGGCCAACUUAUCAACCGGCAAUGAAUUUAAUCUUUCAUGAUAUGAUAGGCAAGUUUGUUGAAGUGUAUGUAGAUGACAUAGUAGUCAAGUCCAUUAAAGAAGAGGACCAUUUCGAACAGUUAAGAUGUUCGUUUGAGCGAAUGAAGCAAUAUAAGCUAAAGUUGAAUCCCUUGAAGUGUGCAUUUAGUGUUAAUGCAGGGAAUUUUCUUGGUUUCUUAGUAUACAAGAGAGGGAUUGAACUUGAUAAAAAUAAAGCGAAGGCCAUUUUAGAGGCCAAACCACCUAGCAACAAAAAAGAAUUGCAAAGGUUUCUAGGCCAAGUAAACUUUUUAAGACGCUUUAUUUCUAACUGUGCAGGGCGAACUAAAGUCUUUUCGCCGCUCUUAAAGCUGAAAAAUAGGACGAAUUCGUCUGGAAAGAAGAACAUCAAAAGGCUUUCGAAAGCCUAAAGACAUAUUUAUCAAGUCCACCAGUGUUGGUGUCACCAAUCCAAGGACGGCCAAUGAAAGUGUACGUAUCGGCUGAAAAAGAAUCAAUAGCUGGAAUGGUCGCACAGGAAGACCAAUUUGGUGAAGAAAGGGCAAUUUACUACUUAAGUAGACGGUUAACGAAAUGUGAAUGUAAUUACUUUGCUAUCGAAAAAUUAUGUCUUGCAUUGUAUUUCACAUGUACAAAAUUAAGGGCUUAUUUACGGCCCGUAACCGUUUAUUUAAUUUCUAAAGUAAAUUUAGUUAAGUAUAUGUUCUCGCGCCCUAUUUUACACCAAAGGGUAGGCCUUUGGACACUAGCUUUAUCAGAAUUCGAGAUACAAUAUAUACCUCAAAAGUCAGUCAAAAAUCAGGUUUUGGCUAAUUUUCUAGCCAAUCAUCCAUGCCUUGACAUGCCUGAAAAAAUUGAAUUAGAAAUCAAUUCGUUCGAGUUAAAACCUUGGGUGUUGUAUUUCGAUGGGUCAAAAACCUCUAAAGGCGCAGGAGUAGGAGUAGCAUUGAUUAAUCAUUUAGAGAUUUGCUAUAAGUUCGCAUUCACUUUAGACAGAAUGUGCACCAACAAUCAGGCCGAAUAUGAAGCCUUAAUUGUAGGCCUGGAACUAAUGAUAGAUAUGAGAGUAAAAAAUGUGAUUGUUAGGGACGAUUCUCAAUUGGUAAUCCACCAAUUGAUUGAUGAUUUUAAAUGCCAAAGUGAUUCCAUUAUAAGUCAAUAUGAGAUCGCCCAAGAGUUGUUGGAAGAAUUCGACCAAGUAGAACUUCAAUGCAUUAAUAGGAUAUAUAAUGACAUGGCAAAUGAGUUGACCCAAAUGGCCCCAGGAUAUUCAAAGGUUUUGAAUUGGAAGUCUACUUGUGAGUAUGGAAUCAUAUUGCCCGUGACUUAAAGAAGGGCGAGAAAGAUUGAACUUCACUGCAUACAAGAUGGAGAUACAAUGGAUUGGAGAACAGAUAUUAAAAGGUUCCUUAAGGAACCUAAUGGAGGGAUUAGUAGGAGAAUGAAGCUGUGUUUGCUAAACUAUACACUAAUAGAUGAAGAGUUGUUUAAGAAACGCUCUGAUGGUGUAUUACUAAAGUGUGUAAGUUUGCAAGAAGCCAAGACGAUCAUGACUGAGGUGCACGAAAGGAUAUGUGGAGCUCAUCAAGCUGGCCAAAGGAUGAGAUGGUUAAUUAUUAGGAGUGGAUAUUUUUGACCAAAGAUAGGAGAAUUAUGCGUUCAGUAUGCAAAGAGUUGUUUAGUAUGCCAAAAGCAUGGUCUAAUACAAAGGGCGCCAGCGUGAGAGAUGGCACCUAUUAUUAAACCUUGGCCGUUCAAGGGUUGGGCGAUAGACCUGAUAGGGAAGAUUUAUCCCCCAUCGUCCAAGCAACAUACUUUUGUUAUAGUUGCAACCGACUAUUUCACCAAAUGGGUAGAGGCGGUACCUUUGAAAGAGAUCACCCAGAAGAAUGUUAUAGAGUUUAUCCGUGAUCACAUUAUUUAUAGGUUUGGAAUUCCACAAACGUUAAUGGUAGAUCACGGAACAUCUUUGAAUGGGGAUCAAGUGAACAAAUUUUUGAGCGAGUUUGGGGUUAAAUUAGUAAACUCCACACCAUACUACGCUCAAUCCAACGGACAAGCAGAAUCUUCUAAUAAGAUUCUAAAAAAUAUCAUCAGAAAGAUGAUAGAUGAAAAUGCCAGAAAUUGGCACGAAUGUCUGAACAAGGCCUUAUAGGCUUAUAGAACAUCACCUCGGUCAAGUACCAAAGUUACUCAUUUUCAACUUGUUUAUGGAUAGGAGGCCAUUUUGCCUAUGGAAAUCAACGUGCAAUCGAUUAGAGUUUGCUUGCAACAUAAGUUGAAUGAUGAUGAGUAUGCCGAAUCACUAGUUCAAAAUUUAUUGAGGUUAGACGAAUUAAAGUUGGACGUCUUAGAUAGAUUGCAAGUUCAAAAAUAAAGAAUGGCUAGGUUUUAUAAUAAAAAAGUCAUAGCCAAGUCGUUCAACCUAGGUGAACUGGUUUGGAAGACGAUACUCCCUUUGGAUAGCAAGGAUCCAAAGUACGGGAAGUGGUCGCCCAAUUGGGAAGGACCAUACAAAAUAAACAGUGUGUUGCCCAAUGGAGCGUAUCACUUGGAAGAUUUUAGAUGGCACCAAACACAUGAGAUUCGUUAACGGCAAAUAUUUGAAAAAAUAUGUUCCUUCUUUAUGGGAAUGUGAACAGAUAAAAGCAUAAUCAAAAUAUGUUGAACGAUUAAGGAUAACAAGGUCACAGCGAAAUACGUUCAAAUAAAGUCCUUUAUUACCAAACGUUCAUUACAAAGAUGCGAAAAUACAAAUAAUGGAUGCUCUACAAACUACAAUAAAAAAUAAGCUAAUCUCCCGUUUGAUCGCUGAGUAAGAGGGUGGACUAGCCUCACACCGCCUUUCUAGAUGCAUCGCUGCAAUGGUGGGAUCGUCGAGUAAGAGGGUGGACUGGCCUCACCACCUUCCUAAAUGCAUCGCUGCAAUGGCGGGCAAAGAGGCUGAGAAGCACUCUCAGCAAGCAAACUAAGAAGCACUCUCAGCAAGCAAUGUGGCCCGCAAUCAUCCCAAAAAUUGCCUUCUAUCAUCGACUCCUUGUAAAGGACAAAGAGACGAUGGGAAGAACUUCGAUGGUAAAAACUUUGCUGUUGGCCAAAAAAUAUUUCCUAUACCUCCCACACCAAAGGUGACAUCAAGGCAAAUAGUAAAAUGGGCGGACUAAACAAUCCAUUUUUAUAGAAAGACGAAAGUUUCGGAUCGGAUUGAUUGUCAGAAUGCCAAACAAUGGCAGCAAAUUGGUUUCGAAGAAGAAAAUGAAGAUGAAGAUGGAAGAUGGAAGAUGGAAAAUGCGAAGCAUACGUGCAUUUAUAGGGGGUGGAGAUGAAGAGACAGAAUAUGAGCAGCCACAUUCUGCUUAGUAAAUGGAAUUAAAUAGCCCAAAGUCUUGGAAAAAGUGGAGGAAAUAUCAAAAGAAAAAUGGGCAAGAUUUUUAGCACAAAGCAGUUAAAUGCUUGAAGAAUUGACGACUAAAAAACAAACGUCAAAUAAAUGCACAAGAAGUUAAUAUAUAUGUUCAUUAAUGAUGAACAAAGUUACAAAGGAAAAAUCAAAUUACAAAAGAAAAAGGCACCAUAUGUCUUAAUUACAGUCCACCCCACAUUGAACGAAUUCGUUCCCUAAGUUUUUCCCAAUCCUCGUUCUACCGAGAGGAAGUGAUGUUCAAUUCAGCCACGACAUCAUCAUCAACUUCCAAUUUCUUGUACUGCUCAACCAAGGACUUAGUUCGCUCAAUUCCCUGGGAGGCGUUGCGCUUUUUAGCAGCCAUUCUCGCCUUGCAGUCGUCCAUUUUGGCUUGAAGUUCCUUCAUCUGAGCAGCCAAAUUAACCAUCAAAGAGUCUUCGAUCAUGACUUCGAAAGAGAUUUCUUUUAACUCGUCCUCAGCCUUGUUGAUCUCCAUACGCAAAGACUCUUUCUCAGAUACGGCUCGAAGAUAUUGAGUACUUUUGGCUUUUAGUUCAGCAUUCUUGGCCAGCAAAAAAAGGACCUCGGAGUGGAUAACCUUCAACGUCGCUUUAAAAUCGGCAGAAAGAUUGAGCGACGGAAGCGUCAGUGUUUGCUCCAAUUUCACAUUCAAAUGCUCAAGUUUAUCCUUAUGUCUGGCAGCACUAGCCCUACCAAUGUCCAUGUCCAUGAAGGACACGUACUCAAAUAUCGACUGCUUGAGGAACUUCAAAUCUUCCUCUGAAGAAGCAACAGGACGAUCAGAUGGAGUAGGGCGAGACGUCUUGACUUGCCCCCAGGAAGCGAACAAGUCUCGGAUAGAACGCACAAUCUUGUCAGCAUCCUGCAAAGAAAAUUGCCUAUAUUAAAGAUUCUCACUACAACAAACAAGAUAGAAAUAAAAGUGAAGCAAAGAUUACCUCAUCAACAAUUGUGGAAGAUGGCAUGUCCUCAGCCAAGUCUGCCACCAAUGACCCCUUCAUUCGUGAGCACUUCCCCUUGUUUGAGCGAGAAGAUGUUGCCACAACGGGCAGACUCAUAGGAGUAUUUGCAAAACUCAGGAGCAACAAAUCAGAAACCAAUAGCACAAGCAAAGGUAAGGCAUCAAAAAACUGAAUUACCUUCUGCUUCGAUAUUUGGGGGGUUGACGCCCUGAGAAGAAGGUGGCUCAUCCAUGGGUUGUGAUGAGGAUUCUGGAACUGAAGAUGUCUCUUUAAGCGUAGUCCCCUCAUCAACCGGUUUGGAUGAAGCAACCUCAGUGGAGGAUGAUGGAGCAGAAGCUGUCGAUGCCAAAACCUUUGAAGGAGAGGCUGAACUUUUCUGAGAAGUCCAAAAAAUCAUCAGCACACAGAAAAGUUUCAAGUAUGGAAAAGUAUGCUUGUGAGUAAAUCAAUUUAAUUACCUUCCUCCUGACGAUAAGAGGGGUAUCAUCAUCAUCAUCAUCAUCAUCAUCAACAUCAUCCUCCAGAAUGGGAGAUGCUGAGGCUGGCCGUUUGCGGCUUGGGGCACUCUUGCUAAUGAAAAACUUGGCAGGGAGAGAAGAAGAUGGACGAGCAGACUGUUUAGCGCGACGAGGAGGAGAAGGACUCCUGAUGGACAAAGGAGUGACUAAAACAGGAGGAGGGGAAGAAAUGCUCGGCUGGUCUAGUGAAUGAAAGGCACGAUUGGUAUCAGCCGCAAAUAAUCUGCGCUUCACUGACGGCCAGAGCUGUUCAAAAAGAGGAUGGAUGGCGUGGCUAGAAUUGAAGGGGGCUAAUGAAAAAUAGUUGGUUAAAAGAAGAUUGCGAGCAUUUAUAGCCUCUGCCUCCGCCUUAUUAAUAAUAUGAAAACGGUCAAUUAAGUUCCUUGAAUAGCAAGGAGGAACAGGCCAAGUUUGGCCGAAACCAAGCUGGCGAGCAAAAAAUUGGGGAGCAUAAAUUUCUACCCCUGCCUUGGCAUUGGUUCCAAUUAAAAUAUCAUGAAAUAGCUCCCUCCCGGUUAAAAACUGGAUCCAAAUGAGUAGGGAGGUGCUCGCGCUGUCUAUAGUGGAGGGGGGAUGUACAUAGUCUGGAGUCAAAAAAGAAGGAAAAGGAAAAAAGAAAGAGAUUGAAUCCAAAAAAUAAAAGAAUGAAAAAAUGUCCCUUCUGGACAUAUUUACAGGAGCCAAGGGCUCCAUGGCUAGCCCAUAACAGCUAGCAGAGGAGUGAGAAAUUGAUGGAGCACCAAGCAAUGGAAAAUAGGAUCUCAACCACAGUUGAGUGAACCAAAGAGGUCCACUACCAGUGGGAGAUGCACCAUUCUUCAAUUGAGUUUGAAGAGAGGACAUGCCUCUAUAAAGGGCAGCCAAAAAGAAAGAACAUAAAUUCAAAGGCCUGCCACGCGCCAAUUUAUGCGCUAUGGGUAAAUAACUCAGGGAGGGCUUUAUGCUUAGCACACACAAAACAUAUUUACAAAGCCAAACUAGAAGAAAAGCCACUCUCUCAGUAUGGGAAGGCUCAGCGCUUGAAUGAUUGUGAAGGGUUUGUAGGCUUGAAUAAGACUCGGUGUAAUUUCUACCAAACUUUGGGGCGCCACCAGAAACCAAGAUACCAGGAAAAAUGGUAUUGCCCAAAAGUGGUAGAUUCACUAGGGCCCCAACAUCCCUUAAAGUAAUAGAUAUGGGGCCAAGAGGGAGAAUAAAGGUAUUACACUCAGAAGAUCAAAAACUCAAAGCAAUCGAAAAAAGUGCUGAAUCAAAAGUAGGGGGGUGAAUAGAGAUUUCUAACAAAUCAGAAAUCCUAACAUUAUCAAAAAGUGCCUUAGUAGGACCAUGGCCCACAAGACGAGCAUGCCACCUACGGAAAGCUACAUCAGAUUUAGGCCAAGUGCGAAUACCUCUUUCGCGAAGUGGCCCCAGCGGCAGAGAGUUUAGAAAUGGAGGGCCUUGAGUACAAGGAAACAGCUGACCCACAGCCGCCUGUUCAACUGUCUCUGCAUUGUUGAAGAAAGGACCUAAGUAGAACUCAUUGCGUUCGACAUCGGCGGGCGCGAGAAAACUCGAAGUUAUGUAUGGACGAUUCAGAAGUUUCUGAAAGUCAUCAAAACUAAAGGAGUCGCCAGCUUGAGAUUGUGAAGUAGUCAUUUGAGAUGGAACGAAGCUUUUCAGGGUUACGUAGCAGGGAAACAAAAGAUGAACAGUAAAUCGUGGGAGAAACGCGAAAAAUUUGAGGCGUGAUUUAAUGGUACGGUGAAAUGGCGUGUUUGGGGGUUAUAAGGGUUUGCAAAACGACGCACCUUUUCAAGUUAUGGAAGAAAACAAUGAUUGAAAUUCUUGGAAAUCUCGAAUGUUGCUGGAAACACAAAGUGAAUAUGGCAAAAUUUAAUAAUUAUUAUUAAUUCUGCCAUAUUUGGGGGUAAUUGUUGACACAUAAAAAUUCAGUCCAAAUCGAACGGCCUAAGGAAUGAAGCCCAAUUGGAGGAUCCCCAAAUCAGAUAGCCCAAAGAACGAAGCCCAAUCAAACAAUUCAAGAUGAAGGCCUAAAUAGGGAGGCCCAAGAACGCAGUAACGCCAUCGCCCAAAUUUGCAAGUCGCCCAGAAUCUGAGCGAAUGGAGUGCCAUGCAGUCAUCCAGAGCUGUUACUCUAUUCUCGUCCAAACCUUUAAGUCGCCCAAAGUCUUAACAAACAUAAAGCGUUGUGGUUAUCAAGAAGUGCAGUUAUCAAAGCAGUUAUUAAAGCAGCCCUAUCACGUUCCACGAUUCAAGGAAUUCAAUCGAAAACGGUUGAACAACGAAGAGUAAUGGCAGUAGUUAAAAAAGGCAGUUUUGAUGACAAGCUGGCCAUUAUGAGGAAAGCGGACAGUUGUAGAACGAUCAAACAGUUUUUAGGCGGUUGAUCACAAAAAAGAUCAUCCAUGGAGUAUAAAAGGGAGAAAAUGCAUAGAGCAAAAGGACCAAAUCAAAAACUCUCGAACAGAGAACAUGUAAUUUUAAUUUCCUUAGUUUUAGACUAAAACACUUUUUCAGUAACUCGUGUGCUUGCGCCCCUUGGAGGCAUUUUGUUUUUGAUUUCCAAUUGUAAAGUUAUCACCAAUAAAAGAACACCUCUUUUUGGGACUUUGUCUCAAGAGAUUUGUCCUUUACAUAAUCGUCUGAUCCUUUUUAAUUGUUAACGACUAACCUGCGCGAAACAGAAAGGUUAAAGCUUCUGGGAAAAAAAAGUGUCUAAACAAAUUGCUAAAUAAAAUAAUGAAUUCAAAUUUUAAUGGAAUUAAAGGCAACUUUGUCGUCCACUCAAGAAUCAGCUGGAUGGAGAAAAUUAUAGACCGUACUGAUAUUUGUGUAAUGAAUAACAAUUGAGAAAUUCUUUAUAUUUAUUAUUAUUAUUAUUAUUAUUUUAUUAUUUUUUUAACCAUUUUGAGGGGUGGUUAUCAUUGGCCUUCUAAUCAAUGUUACAGGUGGAUCUAGAAAUUUUUCGUGUAAAUGAGAAAAUCCAGCUAAAGCGUUUGUUUUGCGUUUCUAUUCUCUAUUUUCAAUUUUGAAUUCAUUUUCUGUUUUCUGUUUUGAGGGAUUAUUUUAAGAAUGCAAAAAACGCGUUUGGUUUAUCAUUUGAAAAACUGUUUCUCAAAACAAAACAAAAAAUAGAAAAUGAGUUUGGUUUAAAAAUUUUAGAAAUAGUUUUAUGACAUUUUCUUUUCAAUUAAUUUAAAAUUUGAUUAUGCUAAUUUAUGAUAAAAAAGCAACUUUUGUUAUCAUGAAUGAACCUAUCUCCAGCUCCAACUGCACCAGCCUCCUGUGAUCUUCAUGAACCUAUCCAUCAGUGCUACCAUCAUUCACCCACGAGACGAGCACACGAUCAAAUGAGUCCAAACCCCAUUUGGCGUUGCUUAAAAAUUUGGUAAAUAUUUAACUCAAAGUCAAUAAUUAAUUUGAAUUACAAAUUUCAUAGGACCAACAAUUUUUUAUCAACUUUUAACCACACAUUUCAUCGACUUUUAUCAAAAUUUACUAAAAGUCUCAUUUUUAACAUUGCCAAACAGGGGCCAAAUAACAAUUGGUCCAGUUGGUCACUGUGUUCAUCCAUAUGUACAAUUGUUUCUCUCCGUCCAAAAGGAUUAUGCAUAUACGUUCAAACUUCUCUAUUGCUGGUAAAUGGUUUCUGAGAAGUUUUGGUUGUUGAACGUUGUUUGUGGGAGUAUUAUGCUAUAGUAGUAGGGUUCGUUUUCCCAAAAAAGUGAUAUUAUUACCAGUAGAUUGAACAAUAGUUAUCUUGUGAUGGCUAAUAAUGGUCCAUUAGUUAAUAUUAUAUUUAAUGACUGCUAUAAAUAUUAUCAAUAUUUCAAUAAUUAUUGUGUUAAGGUUAUUAAUACCAUUACGAGCAAAUCUGGAACAAUUUGCAUUACCACCACAAAAAUUUUUAAUGACAACCGAAUAUUCGAUGACUGGUUAGCCAUCGUGUAAGCUAUAAUCAAAACAAAUAUUUUUAUUUCACAUUAAGAACCAUGCAUGGAACCUUCUGGUAUUAGUACACAAUAACAUGACAUGGGAAUUAAAAUCAACAUGAAACAGCACCUCAUUAACCAAUGGAAAAGUCUCGUUACAAGGAUUACGCUUUUCAGGGCACUUAUCCUAGCAACUGAUUUUGAUUCGAAAAUUUUAUUUUGUAAAAAGACGGAUAAUAGGAAAACAAGCAAGUGGUUAUGCAAUGAUAUCCCACAAUGUGACGAUUCAAUCUCUAACGAUUUGAUUAGGGUCGACUGCAUAGAGAUUUAUCGUUUUUUUGAAAUCGCGCUAAAUCUUGCGCAGAAAGAGUGGAGCACCAUACUGUGGUUGCACAGUAAAAAUAACAUAGGGAGCAUGUGUAUAAGUUGGUGCAAGCUCAAAGGAGAAGUUGCUCAGAAUAUUUGCUAAGACAAGUUUGGCUUCCAAUAGAGAGUAGUUCUGUCCAAUGCACACUCGGGGACCUGAACCGAAUGGGAAAAAUGCAAGGCGCCCAUUUGUUGCUUUCAAUACUCCUUCAGCGAACCUUUCUGGUUUAAACUCAUUUGCAUCUUCGCCCCACAAGUCUGUGUCUCGGUGAAGUAUGAUUAUCGGCAACAUCAAUAGUGUAUCGGCUGGGAUAGUGUAUUGUCCUAACUUUGUUUCUUCUUCAACCAGUCUAGACAGGUCAACAAUUGGUGGAUACAGCCGUAAUACCUCAUUGAAAAUCAUUGUUGUUUGUAAGGAUGAUAGAGGACCUCAAAUAAUAAGAGAAGAGAAUGACGAAGACACCCUAUUCAUUUCUUGAUGAUUAACGUUGAAAAAACUUGAGUGACAAUAAAAGAAUUUCUUAUAGACAUGAAAAAACCAAAUUAAGAAUAAUGAUACUGGUGCUAGAGCAUCAGUUUAGGUGUCGUGCAAGAGAUAGAACAUCUUAAAUGUGAUUUAUUUUUCUACACUUAAGGUGAUCUAUCAAUUAAUAAUGAUACUUAAACGCUAUCUAAAUUAUUGUAUAGCACCAAUGGUACUAAAUAACAUUACUUGAAUCCAAUACCAAGGCGAAUGAAUCCAGUAUAACUACAUUUUCUAAUCCGAAAGGUGAGAUUUGCAUCAUUUCGGUCUAUCACACACACAUAUAUUCAUUACCAAACACGUUUCUUUCAAAAUUAUUCAUCUGUUAUUUGUAUGAGUCCAUUAUAGGAUUAAAUAUAUGUUUUAGGUCACUAAACCUAUAUCAAAAUUAAUACAAGUAUGUCCAUGCUUUUUCUGAUGAUUUUCAACUUUUCUUUUUUAAGAUAACUAUGGAAACAUAUAUAUUUGUGAAGUAUAUAAAAUUAAGACUACUUACAAUUUUCAGUUUGCGGUCACCGAAGACUUGAAAAACCUCUUGUCUAGCACGUUCUUGCCAAUUUUGAUGGAUACUAAGUAAAAUCAUGGUCCAAACGAGCAUAGCUGUGGUAGUCUCAUGUCCUGCGAAGUAAAAUAACUGAACAUUUCCAAUCAAAUCAUCCAUAUUCUUGAUUCCAUGAGUUUCUGCGAGUUCAGAUUCCAACAACACAUGAAAGAAGUUGUCCUCCAUAGUUUUUCCUGCCUUAAUUCCCUUUGCCCUUUCAUUUAUCAGAAUCGAAAAUGAUUUUCUUAAUUCCUUUUUUUAUCUGUUUUGACCUUCGAUUUGUCAUAGUGGGAAGAUACCUACACCAAAUUGAGAAAAUUGUCAAUAUACUAACAAGAAGACACAAAAGACCUACAAUGAUGAAUAUUAAGACGAGUACAAGACGUCGAAUUUAAAUGAAGAGUAUCAGUAAAUAAUAUAAACCGACAUUUCUUAAGUUAAACCUCCAUUUUCAUCGUUUUGAAAACAAUGGACAAUCGUGCUGAGAGUACAAACAUCAUUGUAAACAUACGACGACAAUGUAAGUGCAAUAACGUACUUUGCUCCCGGUAAAUCAGCUAUUCGGGUUGUCUGUCUCGCAAUAGCGGUCAAUUCUUUAAGAAUUUCAUAGAUCCUUUUAUCCUGAGCAUAGUCAGUGGAAAAUAAAGUUCGGGACACUACUUUUGUGGUCAAGACUUCUAUAUGAGACAUCACGUCCACCACACAGGAGCCAUCCUUGGAGCUCGACACCAAGUUCUUCCAUUCGUUCACAAUUUCAUCGCAGCUUACUUGAAAUGCAGGUAUCAUUUGCUACAUAAUUAAAAACAAAAUAUUGAAAAAAAAAUGUCAAUAAUGUGUUAAGAUUAAUUAUACAGAAGAGGGGGAAAAAGAUAUUAAUUGGUACAAAAAUUUUACCUUAAUUUUUUCCAGUUGGAAAAUUGGAUUUUGAGUCUUUCUGUUUUUGCUCCAUUCUUCUCCCUCUUGAUUAAGGAUUCCACUAAUAAGUGUUUGUACUAUAUUAUUGGUUACCUUAAAAUUCUUUUUGAAAAUAUUGUAUUUACUCAUCACUGUUUUCAUCAACUCAGGAUCCAUAAUGAGCACCCGAGGUCUCGGUCCAACCCACAUGAACGACAUUUUACCUUACAAAAAAAAAAAAAAAAAAAACCUUUUUAAAAAGAAAUUAUGAUAAUGCAAAUACAAUUAGUGCAUGCAUGGAUCAAUUAUUACAUAAAUGCAGGUACCUAAGAUACGUGCUUCUGGUUUGCUGUUUUCAAACUGGUUUUAGUUUUGCAAAAUACAGAAAAUAUGUUUGGUCUGGUAUUUCAGUUCUCAGUGCAAACCACUAAAAUACAAACCAAACGGGCACUUAGUUUCCACUCACAAAUAUUUGGAAGUUCAUUAGAAUUCAUUUCUAAAAAAGUGCAUAAGUUUCCUUGAAGAUACCGUAUUUUUCAAUGGUUUUAUGAACGAAGGGCAUGACACGGGGAACAGCUUCGUCGUGAAUAUUGAUAGUCUUUCGCAAGGCUUCAGCAUAUUCGACUGAGUUCUCUUUUACGUCUCCAAACAGAAGCCUGGUCAGGGUAUAUGGGUUCCCUUUGAAGCCUUGCUGCUUAAGCAUCCUCUCCUUCUUCUUAGGUUUAAGCCAAAUCCGAUCCAUAAUUCUCCAUCCCAAUAUCAGAAAUGCUGUAAUGAACAACAUUGAACUCCAUAUAUUUUUCUCACUCCCGCCAACUAUUUCUGUCUUCAUGUCUGAUGUGUGUGUGUGUGUGUGUCUUAGAAAGAAGAGUGCGAUUGAGAAGAAGCAAUCCAAGGUAUCUAUAGAAGAAUUUGGACGUGAACUAUCAUUGUAAAACAAGUAAAAUAAUUCAUGCAUGACACGAGACAAUACAGUACUAUAAAUAUAUAAAGUAUAUAUCCCAUGCUAUGACACCUGAUUGGUAUUGCUAAAAAAUCUAAGUCAAAGAAAGCUAUUAAUUUCAUCUCCACAUUUUAUAUAGGAUGCACAAUUAUUCAAGUACACAUUCUAUCAAUUUUUAUUAACAUUUGCUAAAAAUAUGAUUUUAAUAUCUUCCAAACAAAGGCAUAACAUGAGAUUUGAUCUUUAUAUCAUAGGAUGUAAAAGAUACUUAUUUCCCAAGCAUGUUGUUCUAGUUUAUAAUCCCCCAUUAAAUAAAGAUAAAAAUAUAGAUAAAUUUAUAAAGAUUUGUUGAUAUUUCUCUUAAUAAGGUGACAUUUUUAAGAUGGUUCAUCAAAUUUUAAUGAGGUAUCAAAGCCCAUUGAACUCAAUCGAGUAGUUCGGUCCAUUUAAGACUCAAAAAAAUGAUUACACGGAUUUCAAUAUUGAUUUCCUCAAAUAAACCACUAUUUUGCUGGGCAUAUUAAAGGAUAAAAUGACACAUCGAACAAAGAUGAAAACAUAGACCAAUUUAUAAGGGGUUGGAUUACUCUUUUUAACAAUGUUAACCUUUUAAGAUGGAUCCCCAAUUCUUAAUACAAAAUGCCACUUGUUACCCUUCAGCAUUAUUUUCAUGGAAUUUGGAUCAAACACGUAAAGUCCAAAUGAAAUCGGAAAAGCUAACAUUGAUAUCAGAUUGGUAAUCUCCUUAUAAUCUCGUCGAGACAUUGCAUGAUGCAAAAACAAAUUGAAAAAAGCUGCACGUACAGGUGCAUUUUCACAGGGAUUGUUUGGAGGAGGGCCCCACAUGUAUUUAAAAAAAAUUAUGGGGCCCACCCCCACUUGUUUCUUGCCUAGUAGGGAUCGAAACAGGUCCUGUACGUGCAGCUUCACUGAAACAAAUUAGGCUUUCCACAUUGUCAAAAUAAGACGCACAUACAAAUAUGUUGUCAAGUUAUCAAUUUCUUUUUAGUAAUAAUAUACAAUAGCUAAAUGUUGACAUUAUGAGUGAUGGGUAGAUUUUGCUGUCAUGGAAUACCUGUUAGAGGACUAAAAAUAACUUCUUACGACUGUCAACGAAAAAAUCGUCAUGAAACUUGCUCCAUUAAAAUGAGAUUUUGGGGGAAUUUAACAUGUGCUUUGGAAUAAUAAUUUUUGGAGAAUAUAGUUAAAAAAUGAGGAAAACAUUUUAUUGUACGUAUAGCUUUAUUUUAUGGAAUAAUGUGAUUGAAAACGAGUUACGUACAGAGUCUUAAUUUCUAUGACAAUUGCCAAUUUCUGUAGAGUACUAGUCAUCUUACCCGUAGUGUUCCCAUUUAAGGUGUUCUCUCAAAAUGGAGAUUCACUUGUAUGAAUUUCUUUUCUUUUCUUUUCCUUCCUUUUCCUACUAAAAUAAUGGUAUUGCUAGCGACUACAUGAUGAUAUAGUUUGCACGCAAAUAUACAAAUCCAGGUUUUUCCACAGUGGCAUGCUUUCUUUUCAAUCCAGAUUAAGUAAUGAUUGGUCCUUAACACCAACCUAUUGGCCAAAACCGUAAUCCUUUGAUUGAUGGAAUGAAUUUUACAUCAACAAUUUUAUUAAAUUUUUAUUUGAUUAUCGAUAGCGAUGAUAAAUUUUUGUUUCAAAUUGAUGACAAGUACUUUUGUAACUCGGUUGAGAAGACGCUUUUUCUGAAUUGUUUUAACCUUUUUCACGCAUGAUUUCUAAUCCCCUCCUUAAAAGAUUAAAUAAUUAUAAGAUGUCAAAAUUUAUAAACCAAUUGACUGGUAGGUUUUGAAAGCAUUGAGGUGAUUUAAAUUUCUCUACAGAAAUAUAAUAAGCAUUUAAAUAAGAUUGAGCUUUUCCACGGAAUUUAGCAUAUGUUUAGCCCUAUUUUUUCAAAAACUCUCUUUAUUUUAUUUUUUUUUCAAAAUUCGUUCUCAACCACACAUUCUCCCAUAAAAUAAUUUUACAUUCAAAUUUUUUUCUUAUUUUUUAAUCACACAUUCUCCAAUAAAAUAUUAUUUUAAAAUACAUUUUAACCAAAAAUGGAGCUCAAACUAGGGCAUAAUAUGACCACCACUUGCAGUCAGUUGAUUUAAGGUUAUAUUAUUAUCGAUAACUAUUGUAGGUUUAAUAAUGACAGUGUAUCAUGUGAUUCAUGUCCAAAAAUUUCACAUCUACGUUAUUGAGCAAUCUUUAAUUGAGAGUAAACCCAACACAAAAUCUACACAUUUUGUGUUUAGUGGCACGUGUUGAAGUUAUUAAGAAAUCAUCCCAUAUUUAAUUAAGUAGACAAAACACAUGGCAAGACGCUAAGUAUGACUUGUCACACUUGGAAACAUACAUCAUUAUUUUCAAACUUGCAGUUUGAUUUAUUUGUUAAUGCAAUAAUUGGAUGUGCUAAAUUUUUUAUUUUUUUUAAUUUUUAAUAAUUUAGAUCAUUUUUAAUCAUAAUUCUGAACACGUUAUAUCUACUUAUUGUAACGAUAUUUCACAAAGAAAAAGUUAUUGUGAUCUUAGCAAUGGUGCACAUCAUGUACGUCAACAAACUUAUUAUUUUUUUUAUAGAACGAAUUUAUUGUUCAUUGACAUCUAAGAUUAGAUGAAUAAUGGCAAUUUUCCAAUAGUAUGGAAAUCCACGUAAGUAAAGAAGUAACGAUGCACUAGAUGCAUGAAUCUGAUGUCCUAAGCAUAGUGAGAGAAGGACAACAAUGUCUUUUUUUUUUCUUUUGAUUAUAUUCAAGAAAAUAUUUGAUACACAAUAUUAAAUUCGAUUAAAUAUAAUUUUAAGUUUAUCAAACACCUCACCGAGGAUGUCAAUUGACAUAUAAAGUUAUUGUGACUUUAUAAAUGGACACUUAUUUUUUUAUAAUUAAGUGGUUCGGAGAAGGACAAUUUUAUCAUUUACACCCACAUCAAAAUUUUUAAAUGAACAGUUUUGAAAAAUGUCCAUUUAAUUUACAAUGUAUCAUGUGAUUGAAUGAUUGAUGUCCAAAUUUUUUUAUUUAACAAUGUAUCACGUGACUCAUGUCCAAAAUCUUUACAGCUAAGUUAUUGAGCAAUCUGUUAAUUAUCAAAAAUAAUAUUUUGAAUAGUAAAUUUUUGGAUAAUGUGUAGUUAAAAAAUAAGAAAAAUUUUAAAUUUACGUGUAGAAUAUUUUAUUAUGUGAAUGCAUAGUUUGAAAUUGAAUACAUAGAAAAAAUAGUUAAUUUAUAAGGGUAUCAGGGGCUGAAUUUAUACGUAGACAAAACACAAGAAUCUAAAUGUCUUGUCACACUUGGAAACAUACCAUUAAUUUCAAACUUACAGUUGGAUUUGUUUGUUAAUGAAAUAAUUGGAUGUGCUCAACGGAAGACGAAGAAGAAAUUUCCAGCACAUUAUUUCUUAUAUAGUGGAACAUUUCUCUUAUUGAUACCCCGUAGAUUUUCUUCUAUUUUUGGAGUUUUUCAUGUAAUUUCUUGGGUAAAUUUUCUCUAUAUAUUUCACAUUUUUAUGUCUUAUUAGUAUUAUCUAUGAAUGAUGAUAUUGUAAGCGAGCAAAAGAAUUAGUUUCGAUUCUCAAUAUAGUUUUUUUUUGUUAAAAACUGAAAGAUGUAUAUGGAUAAAUUUCUAUUUCUUUUUUAAGAUGGUGAGGAACAUGAAACACAUGAUUUUACACCAUGAGCUCAAUGUGUAGACAUAUAAGACAUCGGUAACUAAAUUUUGCAUGUUAGAUGAAGCUGUUAAAUAUUAGACAACAAGAGAAAAUGAUAUUAUAAUCUUAAUCUUUAGUAUGUUAAAAAUCAAAUGAAAUAAAUAUAAUUUUGUGGACAACUUUAUCCAAGUAACAUUUAAACAAUUUCAAUAAUAAGCUUUUUAUUUUUUAGUGUAAUAAUGAAUAACAAAAUACAUUAAUUGAAUCAAUUUACGAAAUUAUUCAAUUCCAUAGAAUACAAUAUAUCAAAUCCUUGAUAUGUAUUGUUUCCAAUAUUGCUUAUUUGGUUAAAUAGUUUCUCAAAUUCUUAGAAGAAAUGCAUGUCUAAGCAUUGAUAAAAGUUGCUAUAGUUGGUUAAUGAAUUUUUUGAAUAAAUGUCAAUGGUUAAUUAUUUUAUGAGACAAAAGAAAAUUCAAAUAUAAUGCGCACACAAAAUAUUCGCAUUAUAACUUGUCCCCUAAAAAUAGUAGACUCUUCAUUUAGUUUAUUAAAAUUGUUGAAAUCGUACUUUUAUCUCCAUUGGUUGUCAAUUAAAAAAAUUACAUGAUUCAUCUGCCAAUCUCUCUUCUAGCUUUAUUAUUGUUUUUUCUUGUACGAUCAAUAUUUCGUAUUGUGUCAUAUAAACUACCAAUUUCGUAACAAGUGGUAUCAGAGCAAGGUUUUGAUUUUGUUUGAGGUUUCUGUUAUCGGUGGCAGCUAUGAAGUAUGAAAUUAUGCUUUUGGAUCGCAAUACAAAAUUUUCAUUGUGGCAAGUGAAAAUGCAAAUAACAAGAUGGCCACAACUUGGACAACAAAGGAGAAAUAACAGAAGGAUCGAAAGGCAUUUUCACGAAUUCAUUUUCAUCUCUUUAACAAUAUUCUUCAAGACAUUUUCAAGGAGAAGAUAGCAAUUGCAUUACGGUUGAAGUUGGAGCAAUUAUGUAUGACUAAAAAUCUAACGAGUAAAUUGUAUAUAAAGCAGAUGUUAUAUUUUCAUCGCAUGGUAGAAGGCAGAUCUUUGAAAGAUCAUCUGUCUGUGUUGAAGGAGAUCGUCGUCGAUUUGGAGAUAUUAAAGGUUAAGUAUGAUGAAAAAGACUUGGCCUUCAGUUAAAGUAUUUGGAGCUAAUUCUGCUACAGGGUGAGCUUUGACCCUGUUGUUCACGUAUCAUUUGUGGAUACUGUGAAAAAAAAAAGAGUAAUUUUCAUGAAGUGAAGAAGUUUGGUUUUGGUUGAAAAGUUCAACCUAUUUUAUUGCAGUGGAACUUAUUUUUCUAGAUGGAGAAAUUUUGGGUUAUCAUUCGUUGCACCGAAAUUUGUGUCAAGGUAGAGAUUUGUAGUGAUGUGGCCCAAAUUCUAGUAAAUAUUAGAGUCCUAAUUGAAGUGGUCAUGGAGAGAUCAAAAUUAUGAAUUAAGAAGAAUGUCAUCGCAAUUUCGCUAACCUAUUGCUAGUUGGCCGCUCGAGCAGUAGGUGAACUUUUGGAGCAGGAAGCUGUCGUCCGCCUAUCGUCGAGCUCUCACUCGAGCGGCAGCGUCGUUCAAGUUUUUCUCUUUAUGGUGGUUUCAUGUGUAUUUUGACCUAGAUUUCAUACAUUAGGUUACUUCGAGGGUUUUGACAUAUCCCCUUAUAAAAGUAGACUUUUCAUUCAGUUUAUUAAGAUUGCUAAAACUAUAUUUUUCUCUCCAUUGUUGCCAAUUAAUAAAAUUACUCGAUUUGUUUGCAAAUCUCUCUUCUUACUUUAAUUAUUAUUUUUUUUGCUUGUACGAUCAAUACUUUAUAUUAUGUCAUAUAACCUAAAAAAUUUACAUCAAUUUUAAGCUAUUUUUAAUCGUGAGUAUACAAUAACAAUAUAACAAUUAGCUGUCAUUUAUUAAUUGACAUCAUUUUAAAGUUAUAUUCAUCGUGAUUAUACAAUGAAGAAAUGAUUUUUUUUUNNNNNNNNNNNNNNNNNNNNNNNNNNNNNNNNNNNNNNNNNNNNNNNNNNNNNNNNNNNNNNNNNNNNNNNNNNNNNNNNNNNNNNNNNNNNNNNNNNNNNNNNNNNNNNNNNNNNNNNNNNNNNNNNNNNNNNNNNNNNNNNNNNNNNNNNNNNNNNNNNNNNNNNNNNNNNNNNNNNNNNNNNNNNNNNNNNNNNNNNNNNNNNUCUCUUUCCUUAAGAUGAAUUUGUCCCGCAUCGGUGCUAACGAUUUUUCGACAAUUAUCUCUCAAGAUACAACUACCACGUCAAACCAUAGGAGCACUCCAAAUGGUUUCAACCAACGAAUUCGAAUGGAAUUCCCUCUCUACCAAGAAAAUGUAUGAAAAUGCUAUGAAAUUAAAAAGAAGAGAAUUGCAAGAGAAGAAUGAAUGCUCAAUGCAAUUGGUGUACUCAAAAUCAUGUCCAUAGGGUUCUAUUUAUAGAUGUAGAAAGGGUGCAAAUGAAGUAGUGUGGGUAAAAACAUGCAUCCUUUCAAAAAGUUGCAACACUUGACCAAAAUCUGCAUCAUUUCGAAAAGUUGCAACACUUCACUUCUUCCAACUUUGGACCGCAAUUUCUCAUUCAUCCGGAAUUGGUUUCGAUAUUCCAAAUAUAUCACGACGAUCUACUUGACGAGUAGAAUAAGUUGGUCUAUUUACUUUUGUAAUUUGACCAUCGGAUCAAGUCCGAAUAUUUGGUCGAAGUUGACACAUAGUCAUAUCUUUUCAUUUUCCACUUUUACACACCUUUUCAUUUUCCAAUUUUUGGUUAAUUAUUUGAACCAAUUCCUACAAUCCCCCACAUGAAUGAAAAUUGGGGUACACAUAUGCAAAUGCGAUGAUAUUAUGCAAUGUAGAGAGAGAGAGAGCGAAAAGCCACUGCAUCAGGGAUAGUAGCUUUUGGCUUUGAACCUCCCGUAGUGAAAUACCAUCGGACUUACUCGGCUACUUGGUGAACUCACGUCUUGAACCAUUCAGCCUGUAGUGUAAGGUAAGACUACGAUACUCACACAAUGUCUUCCCUAAACCGUUCAUGGUUCUCAUGACUUGGUUCAUUUUGGCCCUGAACCCUUCUUGGUUCUGCGAGUUUUUAGAGAAUUUAAGCCUUGAAUAAUUCUUAUUGAAGCGGCCACACUUCACACUCACAUAGGUGACCUCCUAUUAAGAGUAUUCUGCCCAACUCCACUUGACUUAAUUAAGAUAUAUGAAUCAUUAAAAGAUUAUCUUAACCUCUUACAACUCUGCAGAAAACACUUUAAUAUCAUAGGAAUGAGUUAGGAAAUUAUUUUCCUAAGUAAUUUGUGGAAUUCUCAUAACUUAGUUGUCCCUUUGAACCAAGAUCUUGGGAUCUCCAAUCAACAAGGUAGGGUUACCAUUACAAGGACCCUAACGUAGGAGGCUUUACCUAAUUCCCUUCGAUAUGCAGUAUUCUUGAUCUCUCUUAGUAAAUCUCUUUAAAGGUACCACGAGUUUACACCAUUUAGAUCAACUACUUAAUGAUAUUAUGUCAAUGACUUAUACGUUUAGAUCUACCAUUACAUGUGACUUAGUAUCUUAUCAAAUAUAGCUAGCCAACGAUCGAUUUAUAUGAUAGAUGCAAAUUGUCGCAACCAAGAAAUCUUCUCAUGAAGCUAUAUGCCUCAUUAGCUUUAUCAAUUUCCAAACACGGUUGGAGGAUUUCUAUUAAACACUACACUAGUCAAUCACUUUUACUAAUGGAUUUUAGAAUUAUGGGUAUUCAAUAUCAUCAUUGAAACAUUACCAUGCAUUUGAACUUUAUGAAUAUUCUUCAUAUAUUCCAAUUGUUCUUGCAUGUUUAAACAAACGUCAUAAUCGACUUUACAACCAAUUUCAUCCACUUUAAACUUAGUGUAUAUCAUUCUUAUAAUUAGUAUAGGGGUUUUCUAUCUUUCCACCUUCAUAGAUAUUUUUCUAUGAUUAUAAGAUAAAAGCAAAUAUAAUUGUCAAACUGAGUUACCCCCACAAUUCCUUAAUUAGGAAUACAGAUAUAAUCUAGUAAUAUUGCAUCCACAAAAAGAGUAUUGAGUUUUACCCUCGCAUUCUUGGGUUAUACUUGAACUUAGAGUUCAUCAACUCUUUCAUAGUUCAAUUCAUAAUAUCCGUAUCAAGUGCUUUGUGAAAGUCUAAGUACAUUCAAAAUAGUGGUCAUUGACUCACAAUUUAUUUCAAUUAAAGUUGCAUAUAACGUACUUCAAUCCAAUUAUAUUAAUUUGAUCAUUCAAAUUAAAUCAAGGUCAUCAUAUAGACUAGCAAUGCUUUCAAAACAUAUACCAACUUAAUUGGUUUCAUGAUUGAAGUCAAAUUCAACAAUAAAGAGGGCUAAGCAUUGCAACUUCUGUAAACAUAUGCAACUUAUCACAUUUGUGACAUUUCACAUGAUAGUUUCAUUUCAACCAUCGGUUGAAAAGUUGUGUUCUCAAAAGACACAAUCCUAUAAAAGGACACACCUCUUGAGAUAAUCUCUAUGAAGAGACAUACCCAUUGGAGAAUAAUUAUAUCAAAAGUCGUGGUUUUUCAUAUGAAAGGACGCACCUUUUCAUCUAAAUUGAUCCUAGAAUAUUUCAUAAUAUUCUACACAAUUUUCUACAAUUUCAAAUAAUUAAGUGGCUUAAUUCUCAUUACUAAAUAAUGAUAUCCACUUAAAUCAUCUCACUUAAUUUUAUCAAAUUAAUUGAGGCUAUCAUCAUAGACAAAGUUAGUAUAAUUUCAUUAAGAUAUGAAAUUUUAACCAACUAAUUUACCAUGCCAUUAGCAUAUUUCAAUCAAAGGAGUCAUCAUAAAAGUUCAUAUACUCUCAUCAAAUAAUUGACAUCCUUACAUGUCCAAUGGUUAGGAAUAAUUUCCUUAUUUCCAUCUAUUCAUUAUUGGACUCGAGUUGGUUUUAACAAUAUACAAUUCAUCAUGACCAAAGUGAAGGAAUAACAACUUAUAUUCCAAACAUAUAUACAUCCAUUGUAUAAAUGUAUUCCAUCUUUAGGAAUGUCAAUGUCUCAAGGGAGUCUGUGCACUUCCAUAUUAUAAGAAAUGACAUUGCAAUCUCAUCAUCACAACAUGAAUUGUCACUACCACAAUUAAUUAAAUUAAACAAUGGCUGGAACUGCACCAUGCACUUCCAAAACCAAUAGCAAUAGCCAACACAGAUGAAAAUUGAUCACCCACGUGUUUUCAAAGCCCAUUGUUAAAUAAAGAAGGAUGGAAGAAAUUAAAUUUGGUUUAGCAGCCUUCUCCCACUAAUGACCGUUGGUUUGAGUACAACCAUUCAUACAAAAAAGUGUCCACAUAAGGUAAAACAAGACCAAAGUUAUUCAUUAUUUUGAAUCUCGAAUAUGUUGCAUUUUAACAAACCCAAAUUAGAGAAUAUUUUACUAUCAUUAUUCUCUCAAUGUAUAAUUUCAUGUAAGCAUCCAUUCAUACGUCAUUCACAAUAUUUUAAGAAAAGGGAUAGACAUAGUGCUUUUGAAAAUUGAACUGUCAUGGCUUGAAGGCAAAAGAACUCAAGCCUUUCAUAAUUAAAUCUUUUAAACAAACUGAAUUCUUGGAAUUCAAUCGAUACGUGAACGAAUAAGACUUAAUCAAAAUAAUACCCUAUGGAGCAUAACUGUUAAAAUGGCGUGAAUAGUAAAUAAUUCAUGCAAUAACAAAUUUAAAUCUCACACAUGCAUACACGUGCAAUUCCAUAUUCAGGCAUAUAAAAUAGAUUUGAUAUGUUAUCAAGCCACAUAAUCAAGUCAUGUAACUUACUUAUCAAAAUAUUAAAUGCACAAAAAUAAAAUUCAUCUUAAGAUUAUUGGGGAAUAUACCGAUUAUGUGCAUAUUAUAUCCACAAAAAAUAUACAUUUUAUGUUCACGAAAUCUAAACAAGGUUUCGAUUUACUGAAAUGGAGUUUGAGAAACUAAUAAAUGAUUAUCGAAUCUGACCAUUUCCAUUCUUGAAUUAAAAUAUGUGAUUUUUCAUAUCGAACCUUGCAUAAACCAUAUAAAUAAAAUUAAUCAUUUUCUAAAAUCAAGUAGAAAUGAAAUUAGAAAAAAUUAUAUGUAAGUGAUGCGAUUGGCCGAGACGAGUAUAACUCUUUCCUUAAGAUGAAUUUACCCCGCAUCGGUGCUAACGAUUUUUCGACUAUCAUCUCCCAAGAUAUAACGACCACGUCAAAUCAUAGGAGCACUCCAAAUGACUUCGAUCAGCGAACUUGAACAGAAUUCUCUCUCUACCAAGGAAAUUCAUGAAAAUGCUAUAGAAUUAGAAAUGAGAGAAUUGCAAGAGGAGAAUGAAUGCUCAAUGCAAUUGGUGUACCCAAAAUCAUGUCUAUAGAGUCCUAUUUAUAGAUGUAAAAAUGGUGCAAAUGAAGUAGUGUGGGUCAAAACAGGCAUCCUUUUGAAAAGUUGCAACACUUCAUUUCUUCCAACUUUGAUCCGCAAUUUCUCAUUCAUCCGAAAUUGAUUUCGAGAUUCCAAAUAUAUCACGACGAUCUACUCGACGAGUAGAAUAAGUUGGUCUAUUUACUUUUAUAAUUUGACCAUCGGAUCAAGCCCGAAUAUUUGGUCGAAGUUGACACGUAGUCACACCUUUUCAUUUUUCAAUUUUUGGUUAAUUAUUCGAACCAAUUCCUACAAAAUUUUUGGUUAAUUAUUUGAACCAAUUCCUACAACAAUACAAUGAAGACCUUCAUUGAGCACAUACACCCCCUUUCUCCAACUCUGAAAAAAAUAUAAUCUUCAACAAAUUGGAGUUAUAGUAUACACUACAUACAGAUUGAAAAAUUUAAUCUGGAAUAGAAUGAAGUUAAGAAUUUGACCCUAAAAACUGAAACCCAAAUCAAUAAUUUUUUUUACAUAGAUAAACAACUUUUUAUCUAUGUUGAUGUUAAUCUAUAUUUGACACGAAAAAAAAGACCAUAUCAUUAAAUGCCCGAAGAAUAUAUAAAUAAUCCCACUUUGCCUCCUUUUGUCUAUUAUUCUAUUUAUUUUAACAUAACAAAGUCAUCGAAGAGAUUUGAGGAGGUGGCGGCUGGUUGCUACCAUUUUGGAGAACACAUGUUUUAGUAGAUACUGUGACGAACUAAAUGACGUUAAAGUAAAAAUUUAUUUAAUCAACCUCCAAAAAGUAUUUUAUUAUUAUUAUUAUUAUUAUUAUUAUUAUUAUUGUUGUUGUUGUUGUUGUUGUUGUUGUUGUUGUUGUUGUUGUUGUUAUUAUUAUUUUAUUUUUAUUAUUAUUAUUUUUUUUGGAAUACUUAGCAGCCAUUAGAAAUUGCUUUCCUAUUUUCAAAAGAUUUUUAGCAAGGAAUGUUUUGAAGGUGGAACCACCAACCCCAACCACCACAUGGAGUAUCAACUAUCAAUGCAAGUUAUUCUACACUAGAAAAUAGUCACACAACAAGACAAGCACAAAGUUCAUGUUUUCUCCCAAUCAUUGACUAAUAUCUAUCUCUUUUAGUAUAUUUAAUACAUGUGAUGGAAUAAUUUUUAUAAUUGACAUCAAUUUUACAUUAAUUUUAACAAUUAGCCGCCAUUUAUUGUAAUUGAUAGCAUUUUUAAGUUAUACUCAUCAUGAAUAUAUAACGACAAACUGAUUAUUUUUAAAAGUAUACCAUCAAUGAAUACUUGAUAUCAUGAAGACAAUGCUUCUCAAGUGAUUAUGAGACUAUGUAGUUAAGAUAUGCAUGUCGGUCAUUAUUUUUUUCAUUUUGAAACAGUCUAAUUGAUAUUAUUUUCAUUGAUCAAGAACUAUUAUAUUAAUUCAAAUCACUCGAGGCUCAAACAACGCGAAUUCAAAUCACUCGUGGCUGAAAAAACGCGUGACAAAAACUAGAGAAAUACAAUAUAUCCACCCAUUAAGAAGAGGACCUUGAAUAGCGAAGAAGACAAGCCCAUGGACCAAUGUAUUCCACUCGCAGGAUACAUUGUAAUAAGGACCAAACCGCACCUUACGAGCACUUGGCAGAGGAAGUUCGCUCAAGUCCUUCUCCAUACUAAGUUAGACUACCUUACAAUUCUAUCCAUGAGACAAACACGUUAAAAUUUUGGGACAUGAAUGAUGACAUUUUUCAAAUAAUGAUGGAAAAAGUUCAUGAAGAUCCACGUGGCAUGUUUCAUCACAACUUCAACUAGAAGAAUUUUACAACUCAUGGAAGCACUUUAAGCAGGAAGUCAACAUUGCAAGUGUACCUACAAGAAAAUCUUAGCUUUUUAUUUGGGAAAAUGAAAGCUCCCUGCCCGUAAUAUAAGCAUUUAUGUUUUAAUUCCAUUUAUAAUGUCCAAAAAAUUUCAAUUAGCAAUGUAUUACGUGAUUCAUGCCCAAAAAGUUUUACGGCUAAAUUAUUGAGCAAUCUGUUAAUUAAUACUUGUUGAGGUGAUUAAGAAAUCAUCCCUGAAAAACCAAUAAAUAUACUCUGCGAGUCUCGCCCUCUACCUGCGAAGCAUAAGCGAUAUGUAAGUGAUAAGAAUAAAGAAGAAGCUCCUUAAACCUUUGCUUCCAAGCGUCCUUCUUAGAUAAAAAUUCAUGCAAGGUUAAAGCUUCUGGGAAAAAAAAAGUGCCUAAACAAAUUGCUAAAUAAAAUAAUGAAUUCAAAUUUUAAUGGAAUUAAAGUCAACUUUGUCGUCCACUCAAGAAUCAGCUGGAUGGAGAAAAUUAUAGACCGUACUGAUAUUUGUGUAAUGAAUAACAAUUGAGAAAUUCUUUAUAUUUAUUUAUUAUUAUUAUUAUUUUAUUUUAUUAUUUUUUUCAACCAUUUUGAGGGGUGGUUAUCAUUGGCCUUCUAAUCAAUGUUACGGGUGGAUCUAGAAAUUUUUCGUGUAAAUGAAAAAAAUCCAGCUAAGAAAUCAUCAAAAAGUUAAAGGAGCGUUUGUUUUGCGUUUCUAUUCUCUAUUUUCAGUUUUGAAUUCAUUUUCUAUUUUCUAUUUUCUAUUUUGAGGGAUUAUUUUAAGAAUGCAAAAAACGCGUUUGGUUUGUCAUUUGAAAAUCUGUUUCUCAAAACAAAACAAAAAAAAAUAGAAAACGAGUUUGGUUUAAAAAUUUUAGAAAUAGUUUUAUGACAUUUUCUUUUCAAUUAAUUUGAUUAUUUAGUAAAAUAUAUCAAUUUUAUGCGAAUUUAUGAUAAAAAAGCAACUUUUGUUAUCGUGAAUGAACCUAUCUCCAGCUCCAACUGCACCAGCCUCCUGUGAUCUUAAUAAACCUAUCCAUCAGUGCUACCAUCAUUCACCCAAUGAGACGAGCACACGAUCGAAUGAGUCCAAACCCUAUUUGGCGUGGCUUAAAAAUUUGAAAAAUAUUUAACUUAAACUCAACAAUUAAUUUAAAUUACACAUUUUAUAGGACCAACUAUGUUUAUCAACUUUUAACCACACAUUUCAUGACUUUUAUCAAAAUUUACUAAAAGUCUCAUUUUUAACAUUGCCAAACAGGGGCCAAAUAACAAUUGGUCCAGCUGGUAAUUGUGUUCAUCCAUAUGUACAAUUGUUUCUCUCCAUCCAAAGGAUUAUGCAUAUACGUUCAAACUUCUCUAUUGCUCGUAAAUGGUUUCUGAAUAGUUAUCUUGUGAUGGCUAAUAAUGGUCCAUUAGUUAAUAUUAUAUUUAAUGACUGCUAUAAACAUGAUCAAUAUUUCAAUAAUUAUUAUGUUAAGGUUAUUAAUACCAUUACGAGCAAAUCUGUAACAAUUUGCAUUGCCACCACAAAAAUUUUUAAUGACAACCGAAUAUUCGAUGACUGGUUAGCCAUUGUGUAAGCUAUAAUCAAAACAAAUAUUUUUAUUUCACAUUAAGAACCAUGCAUGGAACCUUCUGGUAGUAGUACACAAUAACAUGACAUUGGAAUUAAAAUCAACAUGAAAACACCACCUUAUUAACCAAUGGAAAAUGUCUCAUUACAAGGAUUACGCUUUUCAGGGCACUUAUCCAAGCAACUGAUUUUUAUUCGAAGUUUUAAUUUUGUGAAAAGACAGAUAAAAGGAAAACAAGCAAGUGGUUAUGCAAUGAUAUCCCACAACGUGACGAUUCAAUCUCUGACGAUUUGAUUAGGAUCGACUGCAUAGAGAUUUAUCGUUUUUUUGAAAUCACGCUAAAUCUUGUGCAGAAUGAGUGGAGCACCGUAUUGUGGUUGCACAGUAAAAAUAACAUAGGGAGCAUGUGUAUAAGUUGGUGCAAGCUCAAAGGAGAAGUUGCUCAGAAUAUUUGCCAAGACAAGUUUGGCUUCCAAUAGAGAGUAGUUCUGUCCAAUGCACACUCGGGGACCUGAACCGAAUGGGAAAAAUGCAAGGCGCCCAUUUGUUGCUUUCAAUACUCCUUCAGCGAACCUUUCUGGUUUAAACUCAUUUGCAUCUUCGCCCCACAAUUCUGUGUCUCGGUGAAGUAUGAUUAUUGGCAACAUCAAUAGUGUAUCGGCUGGGAUAGUGUAUUGUCCUAACUUUGUUUCUUCUUCAACCAGUCUAGACAGUUCAACAAUUGGUGGAUACAGCCGUAAUACCUCAUUGAAAAUCAUUGUUGUCUGUGAGGAUGAUAAAGGAUCUCAAACAAUAAGGGAAGAGAAUGA
RNAcentral lists this long non-coding RNA (55651 nucleotides) under Olea europaea (common olive). RNAcentral's name for it is "long non-coding RNA (OEUR_LNC002733)". The record is from RNAcentral. Lineage: Eukaryota; Viridiplantae; Streptophyta; Magnoliopsida; Lamiales; Oleaceae.